CUCAUAAGAAAAUCAAGGAAGAACAAAUCUAUAUGAUUGUAUGCCUUCUGAAAAUUUUCCUUAAAGAUCAAUCCCGAGAAGACGCUUCUCUUCCUAGAGUCUAACUUCAUUAGCUAUAAGUGAGUAGUUAAAGAUUUGAUACACUUUAAUAAAAUCGAAUUGAUUUUUACCAAAAAUCUCUUCCAUGUGCCUGGAUAAUCUAGCAUCCAUAACCUUUGCUACUAUUUUAUAGAUAACCCCUUGAAAACUGUUAUUUUCUUCUUCAAUAUCCAUUAUUUAAAUAUAGCUCAAAGCACAAUUUUUGAUCAAGGAUUUCCUUUGAUACUGUAAAGCCCAAAUUUAGCCCGGGCCCAAUAUGGCCCCAAAGCCUAAAUAAAAUAAACCCACUCCUUUUACAAACCUAACCUACACCUAACAGCCCAACUAAAAACCUAAAGCCUAAACGGCCCAACCCUUAAAAUGUUUCAGAAACCCUAAACUCUCCUAAACCCGAGUGCUGUCGCCCUAGCCUGUCCCUAGCCUCUGCCGUCGCCUGUCACCACCACCUAUGCCUAUCACCGGCCAUCCUCGCGUUUGACACCUGCAAAACGAAGCCACACGCAACAGCAGAAAAGCCAAAUAGUAAAGAGACAAAAAAUAGAAACAAACGGUCUUGUAAUUCGGUUAUAAAAAAGCCACAGCAUCUCUUUGUAAUUUUUUACACACAUUAUUAAAUCGGAAAGCAGAAACUGAAAUUUUAAGGUUGAGAUUCACUGUUUUCUUUUCGUAUUUUGUUUACCUUUAUUUAUUUUUUUGUGACUCAUUUUAAAAUAAUCAGCAAGGAAAAUAGAAGUGAAAAACGCACUUGAAUAGGCUCUUUGACCCGCCGUCGAUGGUCCGUUGCCGUCGGCGGAUUCAGGCUCAGGGGAGGGCAAAAAACCUUUUCUUUCCUUCGGCUCUCCGUCCCGAAGUUCUAGCCGUUGAACGCGCUUCAUAGCGCUGGUCAGAAACGACUUCGCGCAGCGCCAACCACUGGAUACGGAGGCGCUAUGGCGGCGGCACGGUCCACUGAUCGAAGAGGGUGAGGGGAGAUGAGAGAAAAGAGGAGUUUAAGUUUUCUUUUUUUUUUGACAGAAAUGAGGGUUUUUGUAAAAAAAAAAUUGUGAUUUUAUAGUGUAAUAAAACAACGCCGUUUCAACAGGCCUCCCCAGGCGCCAGAACGGCAUCGUUUUAGGGAGGCCGACCCGCGACCUGACCAGCUUGGGGGGAGAUCCGCGUGUUUUCUGAAAGUGGGAAAAUAUCCAUUUCAGUCCUUCCGCCUUUUCUGUUUUAUUAUUUUGGUUCCAUUUUGUUUUUUUUUCUUCUUUUAAAUUUGCCCCACGAUUUUAUUUGUGUGUCAUUGUGGCCCUCCGAUAAAAUGUUGCGCAAGGUGCCUGGAACAUUUGCUCUUUCGCUCCCUGAUAUUUUCAGUACGUUGCGAAUUAGUCCUUUAUGCCUUUUUGCAAUUUCUGAUUAUGCCCCUUUAAUUUCAUUUUGAUUUCAAUCACGCCCUUGACCUUUUAUCCCCAAUUUUUUUAUAUAUAUUUUUUCUCUAAAUUGUAUUAGUAUUUUUUUUGUUGUCGUUAUUUAGGAUUUUCUUUUAUGUAUUAUUUACUUUUAAGCUGUUUUAGAUUUAUUAUUAUUUAUUUCAAGUUUUUAUAUAUGUUAUUCAUUUCGAAUAUAUGUAUACCAUUUUAAAUUUAUAUGUACUAUGUAAUUUAAAUUGUUUAUUUCAAAACUGUUUUAUUUUUUGUUUAUUUUAAGUUUCUAUACAUUAAGUACUUGAUAUAUUAUUUUAUUUUUUGUUUAUUUUUGUUUAUUUCUUAUGUUAAAAUAUAUUAUAUAUGCUAAUUAUUUUAAAAUUGUUUUGUACCUUUUUCAACUCUACUAUUUUUUAAAAAUGUUUUAUUUAUUAUCCAUUUUAAGAUUUUUUUAUAUAUAUUCCUUAUUUUACGCUUUUAUAUGUACAUAUGCAUUAUUUAUUUUAAAAUUUUUCAUAUAUAAUAUUUUUAAAUUGUUUUGUAUAUAGUUGAUUUUAAAUUUCGUUUUUACAUUAUUUAUUUAAAACUCAUUUAUUAUCAUUUUAAAUUUGUUCUACAUUUUAUUUAUUUUAAUUUGCUCUAUACUACUCAUCUUGACAUUGUUAUAUAUGUUAUUUAAUUUAUUCGUUUUUGAUUAUUAAUGCUAGUCUUUAAGUAAUGUAUGUUGUGUGCUUAUUGUCAUUAUGUGUACUAUGAAUUGUUUAUUCGUAUUUUAAUAUUAUUGUCAUUCAUCAACGUAACCAUUUAUUCAUACAUCAAAUUUAACAUUACAUCAAUUUUUACCUAAAUUCGUAAAAAAAAAAAGUAAAAUUUUAGAAAUAAAGGCAAUACUCGAUACUUGGGAUCUUCGAGAGGAUUGAGUCCUAACGUGUUGGGUUCCAAUUUUCUUCGUUGAACCUAAAUAAUCGAGAAUGCUCUUUAAUCAAAAAACAUAAAUAAAAAGCUCAUUAUCGGGAAUUCAAUAUGUUGUGUCCUAACGCAUUGGAUACACGUUUUCUCGAGACAAUGAUUUUUCAAAAAAUAAUAAAGGCAAUAUUCCGUAUUUGGAAAUUCGAGAGAUCGUGCCCUAACUUACUGGCUUUCGAUUUUUCUCGCGUUAAACCUAAAUAGUCGAAUAUCCUUUUAAAAUUGAAAUAAAUGAGGUUUAAAUAAAAAAUAAAAGGCAAGCUUACUCUCAAAAAUACGAGGUGUCGUGUCCUAACUUACUGAAUGUGACAUUUUGUUACUUCGAGAUAAGGAGACAUUUUCCAUUUUGAUUUAUUCAAGUAAUUUUAAAAUGACACAAUAUAAAGAGGGAUCGUAUUUUUAAAUUCUUUUCGAGUUUUUAAUUUUCGACACCAAGAUAUUAAGUAAUCAACUAGGUACCAAUUUUGGGCGUUACGAGGGUCCUAAUUCUUUCUCGUACGUAACUGACUCCCGAACCCGUUUUCUAAAUUUCGUAGACCAAAAUCGUUGUUUUGAUAAAAUCAAAUCGUUUAUUAAAAACAAUCAUUUUCUAAGGUGACCCGAUCACACCUCAUCAAAAAGGAUUGGUGGCGACUCCCAUUUUUGUUUUCAUUUUCAAAAUCCAAGUCGACCCCGUUUUUCCCAAAAAAUGGUGUCAACAGAUACUAUCAAUUUUUUUUUGUGGAAUUGAGGGCUUUUUGAAGACCAUGUCAUGAGCAUGUAACCCCUCUUAAAUCAUCCCUACCAUUAAAAGUCAAAGUAUUAUAAAGUAAAUAUAUUUUGAGCAUUUAUGAAUUGUUUUGCUUUUAUGUAUUAUUUCACACCUAUUUUUCUUCAUUCACAAGCUUCAUAUGUUACUUUAUUGAAUGAGUUAAAAUUUUCUAAAUGGAGUGAAAAAGUCAAGUUCCAUUUAGGUGUUUUAGAUUUUGACUUGAAACUACUAAAAGAUAAACCUGCUUCUAUUAUUGACUCAAGCUACGAGGAAGAGAUGUUGUAUGUUAAACAAUGAGAAUGAUCAAAUAGAUUGAGCAUUAUCUUUUUACUAUUGACUAUGCUAACAACAUUAAUACUACAAUUCUACAAAUUGAAAGCAUGAAUCCUUUUUAGUGCAGUUCAUAUUGAACUUCCUACCUUCAAAUUAUGAAUUACUUCAAAUUAACUAUAACACCGUUAAAAAUAAGUGAGAUGUUAAUGAAAUUGGCUAGUAAGCUCGUUCAGGAGGAAGUAAGAUUAAAGAGUCAAGGAAGUAAUUCCAUUAAUCUUGUGGGUCAAAGAGUUGAAAAAGGACUUAAGGCAAAGCCAACAAAUUCAAGAAGAAGAAAAACACGCUUGUCAAUGUCUCUAAUGGUGAUAAAAAGGAAUGGAUGAUAGAUAAGUGUCACUUUUGUAAGAAAGUAGGACCUUAUAAAAAUGAUUGCUAAAAUCAUAAAACUUGAUUUGAAAAUAAAGGUAAUUUUUAUACUUCUGUAUAUUUCGAAUCAAACUUAAUUAAAGUUCCUAAUAAUACUUGGGGAUUUGAUUUUGGUAGUACUACUCUUGUAUCCAACAUGAUGCAAGGAUUCAUUUUGGCCCAAACCACAAACAUAACUAAAGAUUUCCUAUAUAUGGGGAACCGUAUGAAGGCUGCGAUAGAAGACAUAGGGAUUUAUCAUUUAGACAUAUUUCAAACUCUUUAUAUACCUUCAGUUUUUAGGAACCUUAUAUCUAUUUCACAUCAUCAUCAAAGAGUAAAGGAUUAAGAAAUUGAUAAGUUAAAGAUGGACCAAUCCUUUUCGAUAUUGUUCUAGGUUCUUGAAACCUUUUUGGUGAUUUAUAUAAAUUGAAACUUGAUAAUGUUUUUGCAGUAUUCUUACUCAUUGAUCAUUCCAAUGUUGGAAUUAAGCGUAGUAUGUUAAAUGAAAAUUUUGCUUACUUAUGGCAUAAACGAUCGGGUCAUGUAUCCAAAGAAAGGCUAGAAAGAUCAGUAAAGAAUGAAAUUCUACUAAAUGCAAAUUUUAUCGACCUUAGUGUAUGUGUGUAUUACAUUAAAAGAAAGCGAAUAGAACAUAUUAAGAAAGAUGCCACAAGAAAUAUUCAACUUCUAGAGAUAAUACACACUAAUAUAUGUGGGCCUUUUGAUGUUCCAUAUAAUAAUAGAAAAAUUAUUUUAUCACCUUUAUUGAUGAUUUUUCAUGAACAUAAAUUUAUGUGUAUGUUUUUAUGAAAAAAAAAGAGACAAAAAGCUUAAAAGCUUCAUGAACACAAUUUAUUGUGCAUACUUGUAUGGAAUUUUCACCGUAUAUGUUUAGUAUGAAAUGAUUUUGUUGUGGACAAUCUUAUUGUUUAUAUAUGGGAUGAUUUCCUUGUUUACUUUGAAUUUGUUGAAUGAUGAAUUUUUAUUUGUGAAGUUUAUUGAUAAGUAAUUUGUAUAAUUGAUGAAUAUUUUAUAUUUGAAAUUUAUUUAAUCUAUUUUUUUAAUACUUGUAUAUAUUUUCAUAUACAUGUAUUAAUAAAUCCAAAAUGAUACAUUGAAACAGACUGGUAUUGGUACAUGCCAGUUUCAGUAGAAACAUGAUGUACCCAUUGCUUUAAAUCUUCGAUUCUAAGCAUAAAUCUAAAAAAAAAACAAUCUUUUUAUUCUUUUCCUGGGUGUUGUUUCAUAAACAAAAAGACUAAGUGCUAAAAUUUAAGUGUUAAAAAAUUAAGAAUUGAAUUUAAAUUAUCAAAUUUAUAUAAUAUGCUAAUUAAAUUAAUUGCUGAAUAUAAUUAGAUUGUUGAAUAUAUAUCAAUUUUAUACUACGAUUUACUUUAUUUUACAUUUUCAUCCUUAUUAUUUAAAACAUUUUACAUUAUUUCAUAGAAUUAAAGAAUAUUAGAAUUACUAUAACCGAAUCGGGGGUUGUUGUUAUGGUCAUAAAUAUUAGAAUUAAAAAAUAAAAUUUAAUAUAUAUUGGGGUUAAAUAGAUUAACAUGAUGAUAAUUUGAUUGUUAUUGUAUAAAAAAUAUGAUAAUUUAUUUUGAUUUAUGUGAAGUAAUAAUUUUAGUUCUUGUGAGACACUUAUUUAAUACGGAUUCAAACCUAUUAAUAUUAUAAUUUAAUAGUCUUUCUCACAUUUAAUUUAAUGGUAGUUGUUUGUAUAUGCACCCUUUGCUUGUUCACAAAUCACUUACACAAUUAUUAUUAUAUAAUCAUUUUAUUAUAUAAUACAUACAUAAAUUAUUAUAUUUAUUUAAUAUAAAAAUAAAGUGAUUUUUUUUUUAAAUGUGUACAUCUGAAUCACAAUCAAAGUUUAUGUCUAGUUUUGUGAUUUAUCCCUUAAUAUGAUAUACAUAUAUCUAAACCAUACUUAAAACUCUUGACCGAGUUAGUGAUUGUGUUGGUUUCACGAGUCAACUAAAUAUCAAAUUUGAUAUUUUAGAAAUUAUUCAUCCAUGUAAGGCUACUUUAAAAAAUACAAGGAAAAUGUAUAUUAAAUUGAAUUUUAAGCAUGAAAAUAACUAAUGAUGUACAUUGAUAAGACACCUAAUCCACAUACAUUUAUUUUUUAUUUUAAUUAAUUUUGAAUAUGAAUUUUACUUAAUUUGGUAUUUAUUCGUUCAUUUUCUAUGUAGAUAUAAUUAUUAUUUAACGUGUUUGAAAACGAGUGAAUAUGUGAAUUACACAAAAUAUUUGACACAAGAAUUCAAUUUGAUUAGGACUAUUUUACUAUUAUUUCUAUUAAAACUUUUUAUAAGUUAUUAUUAUUAUUUUAAAUAGUUAUUAUUAUUUUAGAGGUAUUUAUGGACUGGGCCGAGCUCAACUAUACAUUUAGGCUCGUUUGGUAGGACCAGGUCUAGCCCGAAAAAUGGGCCUAAAAUUUUGCCCAAUUCUAACCCGGAUAAAAAUGUUAAAACCCGGGUCCGUCCCGUAUUAAUUUUUUAUAUAAUUUUUAAAUAUAUAUAAUAAAUCAAAAAUACUAAAAACAUCAAAAUAAAUGUUUCCCAACAAAUUUUAAAAAAUAUGUAUACUUAAAUAACACUAACAUAUAUGUAACUUAACAAGCAAAUGCCUUUAAAAUAAUAACAAAAUUAACAAUAAAAUAAGUUUUAUACAAUAUCCAAACGAUAACAAUAAAAUAGUAGCAACAUAAUAUUAAAAUAGUAACAAAAUAAGAAGAAAACAACAAGAAAAUAAAAAAUAAUUUUUUGUCCUUUAGUAAAUUUGAGUCGAGUUAAGCCUGGGCAAAAAAUAUAUUACCUUCGGCCUGACCUAUUUUUUAAACAGACCUUAAUUUUUGCCCUAACCUACUUUUCAGACCUAUAUUUUUACUAUAGCGGCCAAAUCCCUUUUAGUUUUAAUUUAUAUAUAAAAAUUAGGUUUGAGAGGAGGGGGCGGCGCACAACCAACCCCUUUACCCUUUUAGGUUUUAUAUAGUCAGAUAAAAUUAGGGGAGGCGUACAGCCACCCAAAAAAAUACCCAUUGUUACGUUUAUUUUUAUUUUCUUUGAAUAAAAUUUCUUUUUUACAUAUUUCCUUUUUAUUGUUCUUCAAUUUUAUGAAGUCAUUUGAUGUUGUUCUAGGUCGGUUUUUUAUCCAGUUUUCGGAAUUGUGGGACUCAAACUGUAUGUAAAAUUUUUUAUUUUGGUAUUUGUUAUUUUUUUGAUUAAGAGGAUAAAUAUUACCCUCUCAAAAAGUCAUAUUGACAUCAAGUAUAAAAAGAUUGUUGAUUUGAUGUUGUACGACUUACAGUUGGAAGAACUGUUACGAUUAUUUGUCGUAUUCGAUCUAUCAAGGAACACAUCAAUGUGUCCAAUUAAGUGGUUGGUUAAAUAACACUCGGAUUUAAACAAUUCACGUGGUUGAGACUGUUAGUUCGAGUUGUGCCCUUCUAGUUCACAAGACCAUCAAAGAGCUAAAUUGUGAACGCUUGUUUCGUGGAUGUUCGUUCUGUAAGGAUUAAUUGUUGGUGUUUCUACAAUUAAUUUAUAUAUGGAAGGGUUGGUAGUUUGAAACAUCUUUAAUCGAUCACUAUAACCGAUUUACCGGUUGAAGGAGAAGACUUGCUAUUAAGGGUUCAAAAUCGGAACCAAAAUCGAUCCUGAAUCUAGAAUAUUGUCACAUCGGUUUAUUUGAUUUUAGUUUAUUUUACUACAAUUUGAUUUCUAUUUAUUUCUAUUAUAUUUAAUUGGAUUUAAUCUCUUUUUAUUUUUCCAAAGAGUUUCGCCUGUCACCCAAUUUUAAAUGGGGUUAAUCCUACUCCUAAUACUGCUAUUUAUUUAUAAUUUUAAAUGGAAUCGAUCUUAUUCCUAAUAGUAUAUAUUUAUUUACUGUUUAAGCGUAGGAAUAUUAUUUUUAAGGAAUUCGAUUGAGAUUAAAAUCUCUUAAAAAUAUAUAUAUAUAUAUAAAUUUUUUGAAAAAAAAUCCGAUGAAAUAUUUGUGUUGGAAACACAAUAAAAUAAUAAGACAUCGUUGAAGGAUAUAACAUUUCAAUUGCUUGAUCAGAAAAAUAAAUAACCAUAAAAGGAUACUUGAGCUGUAUUUGACACCAAAGAUCAUUACAAUUCACAAGACAUUUACAAGUACAUAAACCAAACAAGAAAGACUUAGAAGAACACACAAUUCACAAAUUAUUUGCAAGGAAUCCAUAUAUGGACUUCAAUAACCAAACAAGAAAGCCAACACUUGUAAACUGUAAUGUGAAGUGUUCUGCAACCAACCAAGGUAGGAGUUCUGGGGGCAACGGAUCAUGAAGUUCCUUCAUCUUCCCGUUGUAUAAAAGAAUAAUUAAAACUCUGCCAUGUUAUACAUUCCAGAUGAACAAUGUAGUCACACCCAUUCUUUAAGCACUCAAGAGAUAGAUCUAGGCAAGGUUGAUGACAGACAUGACAUGCAGAGAUCUUCUUGGUGAAAGUCAGUCGGUGUGGAUGGCUCCUCAUUCUAUAGGAACCCCCGAGCUUCAUAUAUGAAUGCCUUUUCACAACACAUUCACGAUGAGCUGAAGUGUUACAAAUUGCACAAUGGUAAAACCAAUGGUUUGGAUUUCUAGUUUCUUCACAAAUGUCACAGUAAGUGUAUUCUGAAUAAAGAUUAUCCUCAUGAUAGGUGAGUAUGAGAGGAUGUUCAUCAUACUCGUGUAGAAUCUUGCUGGGAAGCCUAAGGCACCUAUUAUGCACAGCAAAUUUGCAGUCUUUGCAUACAUAUGCUGCAUGUAACUGAUCUCCACAUCCAUUGCAUUGCCCUUCAUAUUUGUCAUAACGGUAAAGGCGGUGUUUGUGCCCUUGAAAUGUGGGAGUAUCAGAAAUUAGAGCACAUGCAAGGCAUCUAUAACUCUUACAAAUAUUGCAUUUGUAGGCAAAACUAGCAUUGAACCAAUAGAAGCAUCGUGGACACCUGAAAAUGUGAUUUGAAGUCAAGGUAAGGGGACUUUGGUGACGGUGAAACCAAAGUUUUUUCUUUUUAGGUGCUUCUGCACAUGAUUUAUGGAGAAAGAAUUCACAUUGUGAACAACAGUAAAAUAAAGUUGAGAUGGAUAGCAUGCAACCAUCACAAACCUUAUGACCCUCAGAAUCAUUGCUUAGAACCAAGUUAUGCUGAUGGUUCAAAUGCUUUAUCUCUGAAGCUAUUACAAUGUCUUCUCCAAGUUUAGACACUUUGAUAACAGCAAACGCCGACUUCUCCUUAAGAUCCUCAUCCAUGUCUUCCAACUCAUAGAAUGAGAACCAACUAUAUUCUUGUGCACAAUCCGCAUGAACAACGUAAUUGCAAUCAGAACAACAAUAAACCCCAUGCUGUGCGUUUACCUUUUCAGGGCAAGCUUCACAUAUCAAUGUUUUCAUCUCAUAUUGCCCAAGGAUGAAGGUGUGGGAAAGCGGAUGACGAUGUCGUGGAAAUUUGAUAAUGGGUGGUAAUGAAAUGCAAUUUCCAUGGAUUGUAAGACUGCAUUUAUAACAAGUAUAAGAAGCACAAUUCCCCGUUGUACCACAUGCAUCACAAAUGAAUGGGAGUUGCUUCCAGAACAGGGUGAAUGGGUGCUCAUGGAUUUCACCUUUAAUAAUAGGUGGUGGGGAUGCACAAUCAACAUGAAGCUUAAACUUGCAUAUGGAACAACAAUAAACAAGCCCUUCAUCUUGGGUAUUUUGACAGAUUUGGCAAGGAAGGGAUUCUGGAUCGAAUUUUAGAAAGAGAGGAUGGUUACGGUGGCAAAGGUGGUUAAUUUUAGUUGGUAGCUCAGCACAUGUUAUAUGAAGGGCAACCUCACAAGGCGAACAACGAUAAACAAAUCCCUUGAGUUGGGUUUUUUUACACAUUUGACAAGGGAGAGGCUUACUAUUGAACUGUAAAAUUAGAGAGUGCUGGCUAUGGAGAAAAUGGUUGAUUUCAGUAGGUAAAUCAACACAUUUCUUGUGUAGGAAAAUUCCAUGGCCAAGAUCAAGGUAUGCAAAAUCUAGCAAUCGCUGCCAACAUGCAAAACACUUGGCACCCUUCAAUUCUUCCGAAAAAUUUUCAAUAGAGACCAGUGCCUCUUUAUGGGGAAUAUCGUCAAGCUUUCCAAAGCCUUUUUCAGCAAUGCUUUUAGAAAGCAAGGCACAUUUGAUAUGAAGGUUAAGGUCACAAGAACAAUGAUAAACAAACUUGUCAAGUCCUUUGUCACAAAAAUCACAAAUAUUUCUGAAUGGUGGACUGACUUGAAGUUUAAGGCUGUGGUUGCAAUGAAAGGGGUGAUUUAUCUCCGAAGGAGCCUCAGCGCACAACUUGUCUAGGUAAUAUCUGCACUCUACACAGCCGAAGCUUGAGCCUGAAACCAGCUCCCCACAUCCCGAGCAAUAAGCCUUCUCACUUUCAUGGUUCUGCUUUUCAAUGAACACAAGUGGAUGUUUAUGGCUGAAGUGUUGAAGCUCCAUAUCUCUCUUUCCCUCUCGUUUCGACGAAAGUUUUGUGGGUUAAUUAGAAGCAAGGUAUGUGGGAUUUCGAAGUCCCCUGAUUCAAAAUUUAUACAUUGGUUGAGAAGGAUAUCAUUCUGUUUUUUCUAUGGAAAAGACAUAUUUAUAUACUUUACUUCUUUUAAAAGGAAAAACAGAAUCAAACAUAUGAAAUUAUACAUACAAAUCAGGGGUAGAAUAGCAAAAGACUUGUGCUUUAAACGUCCCCUUCCACUUGAAAGCAAAAUUAUAUAUACAUAUGUAAUUUCUUUAGGACUUCCAAGCUUUUAUUAAAUAUAGGAGGCUACAUGUCACUUUAUGACAUUAGAGGGUUAAAUUUUAAACAAUUCAUAAAAUCAUAAUUUAAUCUUUUUAAGUUUACAAUAAAAAAAUUUAUAUUUUAUCUCUCAUACAAAAUUAAUUUCAUUCCAACCUCUUUAAAAAUAAUUAUUUUGAAAAAGAUAACUUCAACCAAAUUCAAAGCAUCAAUGGCUUUGGGCAUUUUACCUGAGAGAUGAUCUUGAAGAGAUACACAAUAGUUAGAUUCUUGAAGUAAACAAAUUACUUGGAAUUGGAACUCCUCCACAAAUCCAAAUGCUCUAAAAUCAAAAGAUUAUUAAAAUUUGUUGGGAUUUCACCUAUCAAAUUGGUUUUCAUCAUCCAUAAAUACACCAAUUUCUUCGAGAAAUCAGAUUCUAGAAGUAUUUUCUUGGCAGAAAAGCCAUUAUAAGCCAUACCUAGAAGAUUGGAUUAAAUUAUAUAUAUAAUUUUUAUGUCUUUUUAUAAUAAAUUUUAUAUAAAAUUAUAAUUUUUUUUGAAUUUGGACUAAAUUGACAAAAUGUGUAAACAUUGAGGGUUAAAUUUAUUAAAUUUUUCUAAAAUCAGGACCAACUUGAUAGAAUGUGUACCAAUCAAAAGACUGCAAACAUCAACAUUUCGUUCAAUGACCAAGGCAUUUUAAUGGUAGAGUGACUAAAAAUGACAAGUGACUAAAUUAACAAAAAAAAAAUCGGUGACCAAAAUAGGAAUGCAUUAAAACUUGGGUGACUAUCUGAGUAGUUUAUCCUUUAAAUAUUUUAGAAUUAUUAUUAAGAAAAAUUUUAAAAGUAUCAAAUUGAUAUUUUAGGGGCUAAAUUGGUUAUUAACUUUUUAAAUUAACAUGCCACGUCAUAAUGGAUGAGUGACAAAAGUGCAACAUUUCAAUAACUUCAGUGGCAAUUAUGUAACAUUUGAAAAUUAAGUGGCUAAAAUAAAAUUUUAAACAAAAUUUAGGGACGACUGGUGUAAUUUAUCUAAUAUAUAAUUUUUAAAAAUUAUAAAAAAAAUAUUGUUUAAUUGAUACAAAAUUUCAAUCUCAUCAUUUUAUGGUUCAUAUUUAAGAUUUAUGAUUGUUUUUGUUGAAUAAAAUCAUAUUGGAAUGUAGUAUAGGUUGGUAAAAGAUAUAAAGAAAUAUAUGCCCAUAUUCCUUACUUUCUCUUCUAUAGAUUAAGAAAGUAUGUAUUCUUAGUCCUUUAAAGCAAAUAAAACCAUAUUCUUUUCUUGCAUCUUACCUUUUAAAAUUAUGAAAUUAGGAGCUUUUCUUUGAUGCACAUAUUUUAAUUGCUAAAUCUACUAAAUAUUACCUUUUAAGAGUAAUUAAUUAUAUUAACCAAUAGAUUUAAUAACAUCCAUUGAAAAAUAAAUCAAGUAUUCACCUACCACUUAACUUUGGUUAUAUUUAUUGCUUACGGAAAAAUGACAACUUGUGGCUGUAGUUUAGUGGUAAGAAUUCCACGUUGUGGCCGUGGAGACCUGGGCUCGAAUCCCAGCAGCCACAAAUCUUUUUAUAUUUUUUCCAUUUUAAUUCAAACCAAAUCCUAACUUUAAACGCGGCGGUAACAGUUGGCCCAUUGUUGAAGUCAGCGGUUAGUAAUAGUGUGAUUUUAGGGAUUUGAAUUUGGUAAUUAAAUCUAAUUUUGUCCAUGAAUUUAGAUUUUGUUAUAAUAUUAUAUAUAUUAUAUUUAGGUAAUAAUUUUAUACAAUUUUAGAAUGUUAGGUUAUCACAUUUUUAUAAAAAAAAAAAAUCUAAGUUUAAGUAUCAUAAUGAACAUAAUUUUGAAUCAGAAAUUUAAACAUAGUAGAGUAACUAUAACCAUAAUUUGACUUAAAACAUUUUAAAUCAACAAAAUCAUUUCUCAUUUAAUUUUGAAAAAAAACUUAAUAAUUUUAAUUACAAGAAAUAAUAGGUAGCAAAGUAUUUAGAGGCGUAGUCCAAACUUGAAAAGAAGCAUUUUGCUAAACAAUGAAUCGCUUUAUUAGUUUCCCUCUUAACCCAUGCAUCCAGGAAAGAACCUCCUUGAAAACAUAUAUCUCUACAAGGCUUGGUGUCAACAAGAUACCCCUAUGACUAGAGACAAGAGUUAACAACCUUACCACUCCAAUCACGGAUCACAGUAGCAUAUGUCGUAGCCUUUCACCUUAAAGCACGCAACAUCAACAUUACACUUGUACCAUCCUAGUUUCGAUUUCCUCCAGUAAGAGAUUGUCGAGUAUGGACUAGACUCUUGAAUUUGUACAGUGUUAUAAACUCUUUUAGCUUUCUUCCAGGUCUGCAAGACUAUAGUUCAGUAUUGUGCUGUCCAACAGAAAAGGUUACGAUGAUACCACAAACUCCACAACAUUGAAAAGAUCCUCCCAUGCCUGUUAGUAUCUAUUUAUUCCAAAAUAGCAGGGAUAAUCUCACUACUCGAUUUAAGCGAGAAGAUAAAGCUUGUUGAUUGCCAUGUCUCUUACGCCUUAAGGCAAGACAGUAAAACAUGGUCUAGAGUUUUCGGACUCCCACAUUGAGUGCACGCAAUCAAGAUAUGGAUGCCUUUCUCUUCCCUCCGAACCUUCUUAAGAAUAAAAUUUCGUAAACAACUCCAAAUAAGAUCUCUAACUUUAGGAGGCAUUUGGCAUAACCACAUUCUUUGCCAAGGACCUUGAGUAAACUAACAAGAUAAAUUAUAAAACCUAUCAAGAGCUAGUGUAUAUCCCAAUUUAAUGCUACACAAUACGUUGUUACUGAAAUGCCAUACAAGUUGGUCCAAUCCUUGCUGAACGCUUAUAGGAACACUAUAGACUACUCGCAUUAACUGGAGCCAAUAUGCCAUCAAUAAAAUUAGUAUCCCACGAGCUUCCUUCCACAUUCUUGAGGUCCUUGACCUUUAAUUGUUCUAAUCCCUCCAAAGGAGUAAAAGAGACAAAAAAAAAAAAAAAGUCCUCAUUAUCAUGAAGCCGAUGGAUCAUUGAAAACUUCAAUGUUUGCCCCAUCCCCCUCUCUCCAAUGAAAUUCACUACAAAUGAGUUGCUUAGCCGCAAAGAUGCCCCUUCAAAUAUAAGAAGGAUUAUUUCUUCCUUUUGCCUCAAGAAAUCCAUAUUAUGGGAAAUUUUUAGCUUCGAAAACUCUGCUUAGAAGAGAAUCCGACUCACUAAUAAACCUAGUAGAUUGCUUGCCUAGCAUUGCCAAAUUAAAGCAAUGUAGGUUUAAUUUGAAAACUCAACCCUCCAAAUUUCUUAGAGACAAAAAGUUUAUCUCAAGAGGUCCAAUGAAUCUUACUUUUAUCAUCAUUCGCCAAGCCCCACCAAGAAGAGUUCAUCAUCUUUGUAAAGUGUCACAAGUGUUUAAGGGAAUGAAGAACACACUCAUACAAAAGAUGGGAAGAGCUUGAGCAAUAUCUUUUAUAAAGCAAUCUAUUCUUCCAACUAUAUGAUCUCUUGCUCAAAUGGUCUCUGAUAAAAGAGAAAACUUGCUUCUUAUUUCUACCAAUUAGAGAAGGUAAACCAAGAUAUUUACCAUGGUUAAGAGGAGCAUAAACACCCAUUGUAAAGAUCACCAAAGUUUUAUCAUAAGCUUUCGUAUUCAAGUUAAACAUGAUGCCUUACGUAUGGAAAUUUAUUGCCUAACCUGAAGCUUCCUUAUAUUGAUGAAGAAUAUUUUUGAUAGUUUGGCUUUUUGAAGCAGUAGCUCGAAAAGAAAGAAAGCUAUCAUCCGCAAAACGUAGAUGAAAAAUGUAAUGAACUGAUUUUUGUCGGUGUUAAAAAGCCGGAUUCAAUGUUAAAUUUCUUAAACCGAAUCGUUCAAAUUUUAAAUCGAGAAGUUAGUAAGUUGAAUGUGGGAUUAAUUAAUAGAAUUGAACAGUAAUUAAUUAAAUUAAGUUGUUUUAUAAUAGUAUAAGGAGUAAUUUAUAAAAUUGCAAACACUAUUGAGUUUUAAUUUAGGGAAUGUAUAAAGGCUUGGUUAGUAAUUAUUAAGGGACCUAAUGGCUAAUUAACCAUUAAUAUCAUAUAAGAUAGUGGGAGAGAAUGAUCUAAGCCUUUCCAUUCCACUAAGUUUAUUAAUCAUAAAUCAUCACCAUUCAUGAGUUAAUUAAACAUAAUUACAAUUCCCUAAUUAUAAGUAUAGAUAGUAAAUUAAGAGAGAAAGAGAAAAAAAAUCAUCUUUCAUUCUCUUCUCUCCAAACCGUAGCAAACCAAGUAGAAGAAGAAGGUUUUCAACUUUUAUUUUGGUUCCAAUUGAUUAAGGUGAGAAAGGUAUCUUUUGAUAGUUUUUAUAGAAUUUUGAUAAUCCAAGCUUAACAAUUCAUUUCCAUGUGUUAGAUUUUAUAAUUAUUAAGUUUUAAUAAAAUUUAUUAUUAAUGAAUAUUGAUGAAAUUAAGUUAGGUAUAGAUAGAUUUAUGAUUAAUAAGCUUGGAUUAUGUUAGGACUAAGUUAGAAAGUAGGGAAAAGAGUUGAAUGUUGUUAGAAUUUUGACAUUAAGGAUUAAAUUGAAUAGAUUGAAAGCUAUUAGAAAAUUUUGCUAUAGAAUGAAAGUACAAGAUCCCUAGUGGUUAAAUUCAAAGCUAGAUUUCAAUUUGAUAAUGAAUAUCGAAAGAUACAAGCAUUUUAAAUAAUAAGGGUUUAUAGAGACUAAAUUGAAUAACUGCACAACAUGCUUAAAUUGACUGUGUGAUUAGUUGAAUCUGUGGUUUUAACUUUGUAUUCGUAUUUUAAUUUAUUGACAUAGCUAUAGAUGAAGCCAAAUUGUCGAGAGAUAAAGGGAAGCCAAAAGCCGUUGAGGACUAGCUAUUUUGGUUUGUACUAACAUACUUUGCUUUCUUUCUUAAAUUCAAUUAAGUAACUAAUCUUGUUAAAUUGCUAGUGAUACAUGAUUACAAACUGUGUUAAAAUGUAUCAUGUUAAAUGUUGGCUUAAUUGGUAAGUUGACAGGUAUGCUUAUGUUCAUGGAAUUCAUUAUGGUAUUAAAAUUGUUAGUUACUUAGUUAUUAGAUUGAGAAGUACAUGGUAAUAUAUACAUAUGUAUAUAUUACAAAGUAUGAGAUUGUCUUAUUAAACGAUGCUAGACAUAGUCAAGGUAUGAUUGGCAUGCCAUAAGAUUCUAAUAUCUAUUGGUGGAAGCAUCCUGACAUUAUGGUGUAAUUCAUUCUGGUAUUACGGUGUAAUUCAUUCUGCAACACCUAUACUUGACCCUAUCGCUGCGCCCAGAUGCUGAAUGUCACAAUUAACCCGAUUAACUUAACAUAAUUUCUAAACUGAUUUAUUCGCGUACUUAAACAUUAUCAAAUCUUAAAUUUUACUUCCACUAUAACUCAUAUCAUACGAGAAAUAAAUUAUAACAAUUCUGUUACCUUAUUGAAACUAGCAGUUUAUACAAUUCUUAAAUUAAAAUUUAAAUACAGAUAUAUUUAAAUUAAUCCGCAAGGCAUAGCCUUUAAGGGUGCCCUUCUAUACGCAUGAUACAACUAUUGCGCCUAUUGAGUUAUGUUGGCAGCGUCUGGCUUGGUUCUCUCAGAGUGACUGAUAAUUUUGAUCUUACGUCCAAGGUAGAACAACUGUAAGUUCAAAUGAACUCAGUGAAGUUUUGUACAACAAAGAAUAUAAGUACUAUAUUUCUGGGAACGAAAUAUAAACACAUUGUGCAUCUUAGGAAAUUUCGUCGACUUGCUGGCUUAACCCAAGCCAUGAAAUCUCUAAGUCAAUCAUUUGACGGGCCUAAUCCCUGGUCUAGACAUAGAUGCGCUUUUCCAAAUAUAGUCACAUAUACAAAUCAUUUAGAUUAUCGACUUCUACUAGCAGACUUUACUUAUGGAAUUUGUAAGACCCAAAUUUUUGCCCGGGCCCAUACCAGUAAACCAACCCAAACAAACCAAAAUAACACAACAAACCUAAUUCAUUACCCCAGGGCCCGAUAAGCCCAAAACACUUAAAAUUUUCAGAAAACCCUAGCCCCCAGAAACCCUUCUGACGCCGCUCCUCUGCCCCCCACGUGAAUGGACACAUCACCCGAGGUUUGACGCGUCUUUGCCGCCGGUCACCUGCAAAAGAGAACAGUGCACAACAGUAGCAAAAUUAUAUAAAAAUAUAAUGUAAAAUCGGCUAUAAAUGGCCUAAAAAAAUAUUGUAAAAGGGGGGAUCUUUGUAACAAAAAUAGAUAUUAGCAAAAAGAAAUAAAAAAACAAAAAAUUGAGAGGUGAUUUUCUCUCAUUUCUGUUUAGAUUUUUAACUCUAUUUUCGUUUUUCUUUUCUCUUCUUUUUGUAUGUUUUUUACAUAGUACAAAAUAAAAGAAAAAGAAAAGCCUUACCUGCGCCGCGCCGGAGGAAGAGGAGACGAACGGUUCUCCUCGUUCUUCAGGUUUUAGGCUCGUUUUUCCUGCGAUUUGGCCUUGGGUUCACGUCCUAGAGACGUUCGGCUUCAAAACAGCACUAAAAAGAUCCCAUUUUGAGCCACCGACUACCGUAUGUGGCGGCGCUACGGUGGGAACUCGCCGGAGAUGUAGGCCGGAAUCGGAGCUUGAGAGAGGCAAGAAGAGAGAGUUUUCUCUCUGUUUUUUAAAACAAAAAUGAUGAAACUAUUUUUUUAGCUUUUUUAAUAUUUAUAUUAAACACAAAACGGCGCCGUUUUAGUCUACCAUGACCCGCGCGUGACCCGACCCGCUCCAGGGGGUCCGCGCGUUUCUGUAAAGUGAGCUAUUUGCGCCCUUAGUCCUUCCUCUUUCGCGAACUGCUGCAAUUCGGUUCUUUUCUGUUUUUUUCCUUUUCUUUUAAUUUGACCCCAUAUUUUGCACUUGUCUCAAUCUGGUCCUUGCAAAAUGAUGCGAGUAAGGAAUGGGGAUAUUGCGCGGUAGGUCCCUCCUUCUUGACGCGCAUUUCACCUUAGUCCUUUGUUAUAAUUUUUAUUUCAUUUUAAAAUCUGUCAUUUAAUUUUGUUUUAAUUUCAGUUUGGUUCUGGGUCUGUUAUUUUAUUAUUAUUAUUAUUAUUAUUAUUAUUAUUAUUAUUAUUAUAAUAAUAUUAUUAUUAUUAUUAUUAUUAUUAUAUAAUAGCUUAAAUAUACAUACACGUAUACCUUUUCUUUAUAAUUUAUUUAAUAUAUAAAUACUUUUAUCUAUGUAUAUCUAUAUACUAAUAUAUAGUAUACUAUAUAUAUAUAUAUAUAUAUAUAUAUAUAUAUAUAUAUAUAUAUAUAUAUAUAUUGUAUAUUGAAAUAUAGUUUCCUUUAUAUAUAUUUUUUUCUUAUUUUAAUUUUUAUAUAUCUCACAUGUACAUAUUUAUCUACAUAUCCUUUUUUUAAUAUUUAUAUGUAUUUAUGCAUCUUAUUUAUAUGUUACGGUUUAUUAUUUCGCAUGUUAUCGAUUUGUUCUUUUUAUUUAUUUUAUUUUAGUUAUUAUUGCCCGUAUUAUUUUUAUACUUUCGUAUUCGUUAUGAUAUUGCCAUGCAUAUCAACAAUGUAAUUUGUUCUCACAUUCUUUACUACGAUUUCGCGUUUUAUUUUAUUGGAUAUACCGAAGUUUGUUUUAAAUAAAUAGCAUCGUGUUUAGAUUCGAGAAGAUCGUGCCCUAACUUACUGGGUUUCGAUCUUCACAACACAUCUAAAUGCACGAUUCUUUUCAAACUUAAGUUCUUAGUAAUCUCGAGAUUUAAAAAAUCGCGUUCUAACUUACUGGUCGUGAUAUCCUUUUUUAAAUUCGAGAUAGCUAAAAUAUCUUUUAAAUAAGUAAAUUUUGGCAUUCGUUCGCGUAUCGGGAAUUCGAGACAUUGUAUCCUAACUUACUGGAUAUGAUUCUCUUUCUCAAAUGAAAUAUGCUCCUUUUUCCAAAAUUCUCAACAUUUUAAUACAAGGAUCGUAUUUUUAAAAUUCUUCAAAGUUUUCAAUUUUCGACAUUAAGACAUUAACUAAUCAACUAGGUAUCAAUUUUGGGCGUUACGAGGGUGCUAAUCCUUCCUCGUACGUAACCGACUCCCGAACCUGUUUUCUGAAUUUUGUAGACCAAACUCGUUGUUUUAAUAAAAUUAAAUUAUUUAUUAAAAACAACCGCUUUUAAAGGUGACCCGAUCACACCUCAUCAAAAAAGAUUGGUGGCGACUCCCACUUUCGUUUUCAUUUUUCAAAACCCAAGUCGACUCCAUCUUAUCAAAAAAAUGGUGUCAACAGCUUGGCGACUCCACUGGGGACUUUAAAUAAGAGAGUCAAGCCACGAGUUGAUUAUUUCUUGUCUUUUUGUCGAAAGUUGAAAACUUGAUUUAAAUAUACGAUCCUCUCAUUGCAUUUUAUUUGUUUUGAGUUAUAGCUUUCAUCAUGUUUUGUAUUUUAAAUUUUUAUAUCUUUCUGCAUUGCAUUGCAUGACCGUUGGUCACACCCUUUUAAGUGGGAGUGAGAAACUACGCCUUCGUGAGGUUUUCACCUCCGCAUGGGACAGUGAAUCGCUUCCGGGAUACAUCUGUACCUAUGUCUUCUUGAUAUUUUCAUCUCCGCAUGGCCAUAGGGAAAUGUAUUCCCCUGAACUGAACUCAGUCCAUAUGAGCCUAUAAUGGGUGAGGAUUGAGGAAUCUGCCGGUUCGGGUACCUUAACUUUAGAACCGAGCCUCAUAUAGUAGACUUAGGAACUUAACCUAGGUAGAGCCACUCCAAACCCCUAGUAUCUACCUGAUUAGGUACCUUUUGUUUUCUGUGCUUGAUUAUGUUUUGUACUAACCCCUCUUGUUGUGUUUUGAUUAUGAUUGCAUUGCAUUUGCAUCUUAGGAAAGAGAUAUGGAUUCAAGUUCGAUUACUAAAUUAGAAAGCUUGUCAUGGAAUAUGAAUUCCUUGAUAAAGGGGAAAAUAAUACGACUUCCCGAAUAUAUUCUGAGGAACGCAAGUAGGGCGAUGGAAGAGUUCGUGACCCUGCUUCAUGGCCUGAGGAUUCAAGGCGAUUGUUUAAGAGCCUUCGACGUUCCAAGAAGCUGACGAGCCUUAUGAAGAUGGGCAGAUGAUGGAUCGCGACCAAGAUCAAAAGAAGGAGCAAGCAAUGACAUCUAUUGGCGAGAUUACCUCAAACAUGCGGAUGCAGAAAAAGAUCGAUGUUGUUUCUUAGAAUAUGAGGGUGAGGCCGUACAUGUAUCCGUUUUAUGUAAGGGAAUUUUCUUUCUAAAAAAGUUUUCUAAAUGUAAUUGAAUCAGAAUCAACGUCUCUUUAGGCAUUCGUUUCAUGCAUUUGCAUCACAUUGCAUUACAUGCAUUAAAAUCCAUUGAAAGAGUCUAAACGAGUAAAUUUAUUUCAGCUAACCUGGAAAACCAACAAACCAAACACCCUUACGAUAUCCAAGAAAAGGCUAGAGAAAUGGAACGAUGGUUGGAAAAAUUAGAGCGAAUGCAGAUCCAGAUACAGGAGCAAUUGACUGAAUUCCAACAGGAGAUGAGAGAUCAGAUGCUAGAAUUACGGAGAACUAUGAUAAACCAGUUCAACCGAUUGCUAGCUAGAAAGUCAAAAGAAGUGCAAGACCCGGUGGUUUACUUUGGGGCUAAUAAUAAGGAUCUCGUCUAUUCCUUAGAUUGUACUCUGACAAGCAUCCAGGUCCAGCCAGAUGGGCACCCACAAGGAACACUUUUCACUAUCGGAUCCCAAUAAUAUCAGACUGGUACAUCGACACCAGUGAAUUGCCUGACAGGCCCAGGAUUCAAUUUAAGGAACAAUUUAGCUAAUCCUGUUGCUAACCUAGCAGAAAUAAAGCAGAUGAGGGUAGAGUGCCCAGAUACUAUAAAAGCCCCAAGGAAGAAGGGAAAUAAACGGGAUAAUGCAAACGGAUAUAACAAGGGCCACUCAAAACCAAUCAUUGUAGGCCGGCCAAAGACAGAAAUUACCAGACAUCGGAGUCCUUUAAAGCGAGAAUCUGGAGUGAAACCAGGUACUGAGAAACUCCAGUUCACACCAAUUUCGACGUCAUAUAAAGAGCUGUAUCAAAGCUUGUUCGAUGCGCAUGUUGUUGCUCCUCAUUACUUAAAACUCAUACAGCCUCCGUAUCUCAAAUGGUAUGACACGAACGCACAAUGCGACUACCAUACGGGAAUUACGGGGCAUUCAAUAGAGAAUUGCAUUACCUUCAAGAAGCUAGUUGAAAAAUUCAUCAACAUGGGUAUUGUCAAGUUGGGUGCCUCAUCUAGUGCAGAAAGUCAUCUACCCAAUCAUAUUGACAACGAGAUGAAUGUGAUAUAUGAAGAAGUGUUGGGAAAUGUUCACAUCGACGAAAAAGCAAAUGAAAAGAGACCUUGUUAGAUGUCUGCCCUUAUAAAUUUGGGAACGUUCUAAGCAAUUGGACUGCAGAAGAAAUUCUUAUAGUUUUUGUUCUUAUUUAGAGUAAUGUUCAGAACAAUUUUGUUGUUUUUAACCUAAAAACAAUAGAAACUUCUUUGUGAAAUAGGCUCAUGUCUGAACGUUAUUAUUCUAAUAAAAUACAUCUUUGCAUUCAUUUUUGAGCCAAUAUUCUUUUAUUCUUUUUAAAUAAUUAUUCUUUUAUUUUUUAGAUUUUCUUCCACAUCAUCCCUUCAUUCAUAAUUAUAUUGUACAAAUUUAUACAUUUUUUUGUAUAUUCUUUGGUACUUGCUAUAGGUCCCCAAAUAUCAAUGACGUGAAUAACACUGCUACAGACUCAGAUUUUCUUUUUGAGCGAGGCAUGUGUUUAGAGGGAUCACGUGACUUUGAAAAUGACAUAGAUCAUAGCUCAUCUCUGGAUUUAUUGAGGAUGGUUGAAUAAAAGGAUAGACAGAUCCUACCUCUCAAGGAAUCAUUAGAAAUUGUAAGCUUAAUGGAGAUUAGAAUUGACCUGACCGCAAAGACGAAGUGAGACUUCAAGAAAUCAAAGGAUGUCUUCACAUAAUCACACCAGGAUAUGCCUGGGUUAAGCACUGAUAAUGAAAUUGACACAACAGAUAAUAGUGUUCAAGGAAAAUUCUUUGUCGGGGCAAUGCCUUUCUCGUUGAGUUAGCAUAGCUUUGCCCAUUUGAAGUCGAGCGUCCAUCUCUUCAAGCUUUGUUGGAUUUUGUCCUAAUUGAAGAGGAAGAUCAAAAAUUUUCUGUCAUAGUUUCGUCCCAGAAGGCUCUCAGAAGGAAAUCCGUUAUCAAAAAGAUUCUUCGAAAGGGACAACAAGGAUUUGCCUAACCCUAUGAGCUCAGAUUCAAUAAAAAAAGAGGAAAGAAAAAUAAAAAAAACAGUAAAAAAACAAAAAGAAAAGAUUCAAUAAAAAAAGAGGAAAGAAAAAUAAAAAAGCAGUAAAAAACAAAAAGAAAAGAAAAAGAGAAAAAUCAAAGUCAAAGUCAAAAUGAAAAUGAAAAGAGGGAAAAAAAGGAGAAAAAAGGAAAAACAGAAGGAGAGGCCAAGGCGAAAACCCGCAAAGGGCGCUUUGUGACCAAAGGUGGUUUUGAGUUGAAAACCCAAAAAGGGCGACUCAAAUUUUGAGCAAAAUAGGGCAUGGACAUCAUCGUUAACGAAGACUUCUAAUAGGCAUUGCUUCACUGUUGGGAUCAUCAAUUACUUCAUCAAAUGGAUAGGGGCUACUUCGUGUGUCAAUGUCAUCAUAUGCCGAUAUAGAAUUCCAGAGAAGAUGGUAUUGGAAAGUGCAUUGAACUUGGAUGAUAACGCGAUAGCUGAGAGCUAUAAUCAAUUCAAAAUCAGACACCACGAUUUGUCACUAUAUUGCAAAACAAUGAAUUGCAAAAAUGACUGAGAUUUACAAGAACCGAUAUGAGAAAUCACCAUUCGCCCUCAUUGCUUGCCGAACAUCUAUCACGAUUUCUAUCAGAGCAAUGUUGUUCUCUCUGGGUUACGGGAUUGAGGUAGUUUUACCUAUUGAAAUCCCCUCUCUCCGGGUAUUAGAGUUGCAAUGAUCCAAUCACGAUGUGAUCAAUGGGACCUAGGAAAAAGGUUAAAAACUAUUCAUCAGGGUCGAAUGUACCAGAAACAAAUGAUACGUGCCCAUAAUAAACAGGGUCGUCUCAGAGAAUUCCAUGAGAGGGCUGGAUGUUGAAACAGAUCCUUCGAAAGGAUUUUAGAUGGAAAUGAAUGCCAAACCGGGAAUGUCCCUAUAUUGUAAAGAAGACAUUUUUCAGAGGAGCACUGAUCCUGAGUGAGAUUGCUAAUCCUAAAAGCUCAGAUCCAGUCAAGAAAUACUUCGUUUAAAGAAGAAGAAAGGACCAAGGUGAAAACCCACAGAGGGCACUUUGAGUCAAAAAAAAUGACAAAUGAAAAAUGAAAAAUGAAAAAUAAAAAUGAAAAAUGAAAAAUGAAAAAUGAAAAAGUAAAAGUGGAGAGGCUAAGGGAAAAACCCGCAAAUGGCACCUUAGGCCAAAGGGGAUUUGAGUUGAAAACCCGAAAAGAGCGGCUCAAAUAUUGAUUAAAGUGGGGCAUGAGGUAAUCAAAGCAACUCGAAUCUUGACCAAAUUAGGCAUGUGGUGAUCUUGCUAUGCCUGAAUCAACAGGAAAGGAUAGGCGACCACAUGGGGAAUCGACAGAGCACUAUAGAUCUCCUAAACACAUGUCCAACUCAAAAUGGUCUUCAGAAAGUUUGUACAGAGAAGUUCAAGCUGCGAUAUCUGGGGCACCCAAUUCUCAUAUUAUUUGUUGUUCUUGGAAUUCCUUUUUUUUUUUUCAAGAUAUACAUUCCCAAUUGUCAUCCUUCUUUACUAUUUUCGAUAAUUUGUUCCUUCGAGCUAUGCUCAGAACCAACUUUAUUCUUAUCCAUUGUUAUGACCUUUUUGCAAACAUGUUGCAUUGGAAUAAUGAUUAAUGGACUAAUAAAACUUUCACAAUGGAAGUUUUGCAUAUUACUCUGAAAAGUUUCUAAAUAAUAUAGGAGCCUGAAACAGGACUAUUGUUUAGAACACACCAAUUUUAAAAGUUGGAAAUAUGAAAAGGAAGAGUCUGAAUUUAGACUUUCUCUUUGAAUUUCGUUGUCGAAUGCAUUAGUUGAACAAAAUGAUAAGAUGACAGGUUAAUGAACAAGCAAGCAAUGAUCAUCAGGCAAUAGGAAGAGAUUACCUCGGAGAAGAGAGCCCUCAUCUGCGCAUAAGUUUUUGAUACGACACCUUGAGAAUGGUGUAAGAAACCAGAAUGAUUCAGAUCCUGUAUCCUUGAAUUGUGAUAAAGCCAUAUUUCUACCCUUGGAUUAAAGUGGGAGAAUGAUGGUACAAGUUUUGCGCCCCAAUGAAUUAAACUUGGAGGUUCAUAGUGGGGGGUAACCUGCUAAAUGUUUCUUCAGAAAAGCCAGUCGAGUAAGAAGGUGUUGUAACAACGUCAGUCACAAAGCCUUAAUAAACUUCGAGUAAUGACAACCUAAGCGGGAUCAUUCUCGAAAAAAUAAAAUUCUACAUUCAUACAAACACCAUUCACACACGUCUAGUUAGGAGCAUUUGAUUCAUUCUGAUCAUGUCAUCCUAAUCACUAGGCACAAUUAGGUUCAUAAAAUAGAACAUACAGAUCAUGUUCCCCAGAGAACAGAUCAAUGAAGUUGUAGAUCUUGCCUUCCUGUAUUAACGGCGGAGCAGAUCGAAGACGGCGAAUCUUAUCUUCCUAAGCAGUAGUGAAGUAAAUUUAAGCUACCAGUCCUAUCUCUCUAAGCAGUAGUGGAGUAGGUUGAAGAUGGUAGAUCCUAUCUCCCUAAGCAGUAGCGGAGCGGGUCAAAGAUGGUAGAUCUUAUCUCCCUAAGCAGUAGUGGAGCAGAUCGAAGACGACGAAUCUUAUCUUCCUAAGCAGUAGUGAAGUAGAUUUAAGCCACCAGUCCUAUCUCCCUAAGUAGUAGUGGAGCAGGUCAAAGAUGGUAGAUCCUAUCUCCCUAAGCAGUAGUGGAGCAGGUCAAAAAUGGUAGAUCCUAUCUCCCUAAGCAGUAGUGGAGCAGGUCAAAGAUGGUAGAUCUUAUCUCCCUAAGUAGUAGUGGAGCAGAUCGAAGACGGCAAAUCUUAUCUUCCUAAGCAGUAGUGAAGUAGAUUUAAGCCACCAGUCCUAUCUCCCUAAGCAGUAGUGGAGCAGGUUGAAGAUGGUAGAUCCUAUCUCCCUAAGCAGUAGCGGAGCAGGUCGAAGAUGGUAGAUCCUAUAUCCCUAAGCAGUAGUGGAGUAGGUCAAAGAUGGUAGAUCCUAUCUCCCUAAGCAGUAGCGGAGCAGGUCGAAGAUGGUAGAUCCUAUAUCCCUAAGCAGUAGUGGAGCAGGUCAAAGAUGGUAGAUCUUAUCUCCCUAAGCAGUAGUGGAACAGAUCGAAGACGGUGAAUCUUAUCUUCCUAAGCAGUAGUGAAGCAGAUUUAAGCCACCAGUCCUAUCUCCCUAAGCAGUAGUGGGGCAGGCAAAAGAAAUCGAUCUUAUCUCCCUAAGCAGUAGUGGAGUAGAUCACAUCAAGUCUUAUCUCCCUAACCAGUAGUGGAGCAGACGAAAGAAACCGAUCUUAUCUCCUUAAGCAGUAGUGGAUUAGAUCACAUCAAGUCUUAUCUCCCUAAGUAGUAGUGGAGCGGACGAAAAAAACCGAUCUUAUCUCCCUAAGCAGUAGUGGAGCAGACGAAAGAAACCUCUUAUCUCCCUAAGCAGUAGUGGAGCAGACGAAAGAAACCGAUCUUAUCUCCCUAAGCAGUAGUGGAGUAGAUCACAUCAAGUCUUAUCUCCCUAAGCAGUAGUGGAGCAGACGAAAGAAACCGAUCUUAUCUCCCUAAGCAGUAGUAGAGCAGAUCGCAUCAAGUCUUAUCUCCCUGAAGUUACAGUGGAGCGGAUUAAAAAACAAAGAUCUUAUCUCUCUGAAGUUGCAGUAGAGCAGAUCGCAUCCAGUCUUAUCUCCCUGAAGUUGUAGUGGAGCAAACUAAAAACAAGAAUCUCAUCCCCCUGAAGUUGCUGCGAAGAAGAUUGAAGCUACAAGUCAGUUCUCUCUGAAAUGUAGUAGAGUGGAUCAAAGCAAGAAGACGUAGUGGACUGGAAAGAAACUACUUGAACAGAGAAGCGUCAAGAGAAGUCAAGACUCGGCGAGACCGGGCAAAUUUGGGCUUUCUUUGUCUUUGCUUUGUUCUCGCUACACGACAACGAGCAAAGAGGGGCACCUGUAAGACCCAAAUUUUUGCCCGGACCCAUACCAGUAAACCAACCCAAACAAACCAAAAUAACACAACAAACCUAAUUCAUUACCCUAGGGCCCGAUAAGCCCAAAACACUUAAAAUUUUUAGAAAACCCUAGCCCCCAAAAACCCUUCUAACGCAGCUCCUCUGCCCCCCACGUGAAUGGACACAUUGCCCGAGGUUUGACGCGUUUUUGCUGCCGGUCACCUGCAAAAGAGAACAGUGCACAACAGUAGCAAAAUUAUAUAAAAAUAUAAUGUAAAAUCGGCUAUAAAUGGCUGAAAAAAAAUAUUGUAAAAGGGGGGAUCUUUGUAACAAAAUUAGAUAUUAGCAAAAAGAAAUAAAAAAACAAAAAUUUGAGAGGUGAUUUUCUCUCAUUUUUGUUUAGAUUUUUAACUCUAUUUUCGUUUUUGUUUUCUCUUCUUUUUGUAUGUUUUUUUACAUAGUAAAAAUAAAAGAAAAAGAAAAGCCUUACCUGCGCCGCGCCGGAGGAAGAGGAGACGAACGGUUCUCCUCGUUCUUCAGGUUUUAGGCUCGUUUUUCCUGCGAUUUGGCCUUGGGUUCACGUCCUAGAGACGUUCGGCUUCAAAACAGCACCAAAAAGAUCCCAUUUUGAGCCACCGACCGCCGUAUGUGGCGGCGCUACGGCGGGAACUCGCCAGAGAUGUAGGCCGGAAUCGGAGCUUGAGAGAGGGAAGAAGAGAGAGUUUUCUCUCUGUUUUUUUAAAACAAAAAUGAUGAAACUAUUUUUUUUAGCUUUUUUAAUAUUUAUAUUAAAUACAAAACGGCGCCGUUUUAGUCCACCAUGACCCGCGCGUGACCCGACCUGCUCCAGGGGGUCCGCGCGUUUCUGUAAAGUGAGCUAUUUGUGCCCUUAGUCCUUCUUCUUUCGCGAACUGCUGCAAUUCGGUUCUUUUCUUUUUUUUCCUUUUCUUUUAAUUUGACCCCAUAUUUUGCACUUGUCUCAAUCUGGUCCUUGCAAAAUGAUGCGAAUAAGGAAUGGGGAUAUUGCGCGAUAGGUCCCUCCUUCUUGACGCGCAUUUCACCUUAGUCCUUUGUUAUAAUUUUUAUUUCAUUUUAAAAUCUGUCAUUUAAUUUUGUUUUAAUUUCAGUUUGGUUCUGGGUCUGUUAUAUUAUUAUUAUUAUUAUUAUUAUUAUAUUAUUAUUAUUAUUAUUAUUAUUAUAUAAUAGCUUAAAUAUACAUACACGUGUACCUUUUUCUUUAUAAUUUAUUUAAUAUAUAAAUAAUUUUUAUCUAUGUAUAUCUAUAUACUUUUUCUUACUUUUCUUACGAAUAUAUGUAUACAUAUUCAUAUAUAUAUAUAUAUAUAUAUAUAUAUAUAUAUAUAUAUAUAUAUUUUGUAUAUUGAAAUAUAGUUUCCUUUAUAUAUUUUUGUUCUUAUUUUAAUUUUUAUAUAUCUCACAUGUACAUAUUUAUCUACAUAUCCUUUUUUAAUAUUUAUAUGUAUUUAUGCAUCUUAUUUAUAUGUUACGGUUUAUUAUUUCGCAUGUUAUCGAUUUGUUCUUUUUAUUUAUUUUAUUUUAGUUAUUAUUGCCCGUAUUAUUUUUAUACUUUCGUAUUCGUUAUGAUAUUGCCAUGCAUAUCAACAAUGUAAUUUGUUCUCACAUUCUUUACUACGAUUUCGCGUUUUAUUUUAUUGGAUAUACCGAAGUUUGUUUUAAAUAAAUAGCAUCGUGUUUAGAUUCGAGAAGAUCGUGCCCUAACUUACUGGGUUUCGAUCUUCACAACACAUCUAAAUGCACGAUUCUUUUCAAACUCAAGUUCUUAGUAAUCUCGAGAUUUAAAAAAUCGCGUUCUAACUUACUGGUCGUGAUAUCCUUUUUUAAAUCCGAGAUAGCUAAAAUAUCUUUUAAAUAAGUAAAUUUUGGCAUUCGUUUGCAUAUCGGGAAUUCGAGACAUUGUAUCCUAACUUACUGGAUAUGAUUCUCUUUCUCACAUGAAAUAUGCCCCUUUUUCCAAAAUUCUCAACAUUUUAAUACAAGGAUCGUAUUUUUAAAAUUCUUCAAAGUUUUCAAUUUUUGACAUUAAGACAUUAACUAAUCAACUAGGUACCAAUUUUGGGCGUUACGAGGGUGCUAAUCCUUCCUCGUACGUAACCGACUCCCGAACCUGUUUUCUGAAUUUUGUAGACCAAACUCGUUGUUUUAAUAAAAUUAAAUUAUUUAUUAAAAACAACCGCUUUUAAAGGUGACCCGAUCACACCUCAUCAAAAAAGAUUGGUGGCGACUCCCACUUUCGUUUUCAUUUUUCAAAACCCAAGUCGACUCCAUCUUAUCAAAAAAAUGGUGUCAACAGAAUUCAUUAUGGUAUUAAAUUUGCAAAUCAUAAAAUGUGUAUGCGAGUUUGGAACGUUUACUUAUAAAACUCAAUAUAUUUAAGAAUAUCAACCUAUCGACUUUAUUCACUUGCUUUGUAAAAACACAUAUUCCUGAUUAAAAUUUUCUUAAAAUUGUUUAGCUAUGAAAAUUGAUCGUUUAAUUUAUAUUAUCAGAAAUUAUGCCAGUUUUUAAAAUUAUUAGCCAAAAACUUAACAAAUCCCAAAAACCAAAUCUAAAGUCCGAAAACAGUCUAAUAGUCCAAAAAUCCGUAAAGUUUAAAAAUAAGAAUUUUCUGAAAGGUUUAACACAGAAAAACCAAAUCGAGCUCCUAAUCACUACCAAAUCCUAAGUUUGAGGAUUACUUAAAAAAAUUAAACAAACGGAGUGAGCUGUAAAACUCAGUGUGUGCCUCGGCCCACAAGAAAAAUCACAAACAGAAUCAUGUUUAGAUGCAUAUAUCAAAGUAGACAGAUAAGAAAUUACGCAUACUUAGCAUGACAUAAUCAUACAGAAUAAUCCUACCCCCAUCCGCUACGCACCAACUCCGUCCAACCAAUCACACCAAAUAGGGCUACAAGAACUCAUCCAUCCAUCACACCAUGUAGUGGUCGUACGCCACUCAUAUAAUAUGCAACUAUGCUGCAGAGUAUAUAUAUUGUGAGUAUAUUGCCAGAAUUAUAUAAUGCAGUAAAACUGCUAGAAUCACACUUCCUCUAAUAAAUAUAUCCCACCCCAAAUGCACAUGCAAAGUCAUACUAAAUUGUAAUACCCAAUUUUUAGCCCGGGCCCAAUACCAUAAAUGAAGCCCAAAUUACAAACUCAAAUCCGACUACAUCAGAUCCACUAAGCCCAAAUAUUACAAACCCAAUACCUAAGUCCAUUACCUUAACCCACUAGCCUAAAACAACAAAAAAACAAACACAGAAACCCUAAGCGGCUAGCAACAAACCAGCGCCGCAUGCGAGAGGCAAUAAUAGCAAAAAAAAGACGACAAAAAUGUAAAAGUGGGGAGUUUUUGAGAGUUUUUUUUUAUUUUGGCUAUAUAAAGCUAAAAAAUAUGUAAAUGGGGUUAGACGAAUAUUGUAUCGAAAAUAUUAAAAAAUAUGAAAACAAAGAAUCAAGGAACAAUUUUGAAGAUGAUUUGUUUUUUUCCCUUUUUCGAUUUUUUCUUUUUUCAUCAGUUUUUAUCUUUAUUUCAUAUUUUAAAAGAUAAUAAAAAGAAAAGAGCACUUACUUGGUUUCGAGCGCCGUAUACUGUGGUUCCACAGUUGACAGAUGGCGGCGGUGUGAAGGUGCUAGGGUCGAAACCCUAGCAGAAGACUCCCACCCCCUUUUUGUUUUUUUUUAAAAGAAUGAAAUAGAAAUGUUUUUUAAGAAAAUUUUUGUUUUUAAUAAUAUAAGCAAAAUGGCGUCGACCCGCAAGCAGGGUCCGCGCGCUCUUGCCUUAAAUGGGAAAUUUGCAUUUUUGAUCCUUCUAAUUUGUUUCGUUGUUUUAAUUUGUUUUCUUUAUUUUCUGAAUUUGCCCCAUUUAUUUCCAAUUUUAUUUUUUUUAAAUCCCUUUAAAAUGUAGUGUUUGAAAGGUUUGGGUAAAUUCUCGAUUGGCCCUCCAGGUUACGCGCACUUUGUAAAUUUGCCCUCUGUUUUAAUUUAUUUUUGUUUUUUUUUAAAUUCUUUUUUGAUUACGAUUUAAUCCUUUGUAUUAGUUUUUACUAAUUAAGUUUAAUAUUAGCUUGCUAUUAUUAUUAUUAUUAUUAUUACUCUAUUGUUAUUAUUUUCAUUAUAUUAUAUUUUACUAUUAUUCUUAGUAUUAUUCUUAGUAUUAUAGAUUACUAUCAUAUUUGUUUAUAUUUUCAUUUAUUUUUCAAAUAUAUAUGUAUUAUUUUACUAUAUACUAUUUUAUUUUAGAAUUACUUUGUGUAUAGUUUUAUUUCAAGUUGUUUUGUAUAUUAAUUAUUUUAAAAUUAUUUUCAUAUAACAUUUAUUUAAACUUCUACUAUUUAUUAAAUCAUUUUACUCAUCUUAGUUUAAAUUCUAUUUCUUUUUUUGUUCACUGCAACUUUAUGUAUAUGUUAAUAUGCAUAUAUUAUUAUAUUAAGUUCUCCAUUUUAUAUGUAUUACUUAUCUAGACUCAUAUAUAGAGAUAUAUAUAUAUUUUUUUUUACGUCACUUGUGUUGAUUUUCUUCCUAUUUUAUAUAUAUUUUCCGCUUAUGUAAAGUCUAUUUUUAACUCUAUUUUGGAUCUAUUUCAAACUUAUAUAUAUUAUUUAAAAUUGUUGUACAUUUAAUUUAUUAUUUCAAUUUCCAUUCUUUUAAGCCAUUUGUUCUCUAGUUUUUUUAAACUUGUACAUUUUAUGUAUGUUAAUUACUUGGUACUUCUUUAGGAUUAAUUUUUAGUUCAUUGGUAUGUUAAUAUCAAUUAAAUACGCAUUGAGUCAGCUUUAUAAUGCAUUUCGAGGUUUCGGAAAAUCGUAUCCUAACUUACGGGGUCUUGAUUUCCAUGCUAGCUCGAAAUGACCUUUUUCAAAAGCCUGUGUUUUUAAAUAAAAUUAAAGGCAAGUUACAUGUCGCCUUUGGGACUUCGAGGGAUCAUACUCUAACUUACGGGGUUUUGACUUUCUAGUCGAACUAAAAUGGCUAAAUAUUUCUUAUCUUUCAAAAAUCGCUAAAUUUCAAGAAAGUUUUUAAAUGUUAGCUCAUUCUUGAGAAUUCGAAUGUUGCAUCCUAACUUAUGGGGUACGACAUUUCAUUGCCUCUAGGCGAGAAGGCCUUUUACACUCGUUCAAAUUUAUCCAAGCGUUUUUUUUUUAAAUGUAUGGUAUCAAUAAAAGGGGAGUUAUUUUUUCUAAAAUUCUUGGAUUUUUAUCAUUCGACUAUAAGAUAUCCAUUAAUCAACUAGGUAUCAAUUUUGGGCGUUUCGAGGGUGCUAAUCCUUCCUCAUGCGUAACCGACUCCUGAACUUUUUUUUUCAAAUUUCGUAGACCAAAAUCGUUAUUUUAGUAAAUCAAAUAUUUCAAGGUGUCCCGAUCUCACCUCCAAAAAAGGAGUGGUGGCGACUCCAUUUUUCGUUUUCAAAGUCGACUCCCGUUUUAAACAAAAGUGGUUUCGAAAAAAUGAUCAUGCAUAGUUCUCAUAUCAUGCACACCUACUUAUAAACAAAUCGGAUACAUGUUUUUCGUACAUGCAAGAUAAUACAACAACUCAUACGUGUAAUCUUACUCAGUGUAACACCCUUAACCCGUCUUUAUCGCCAGUUUUGAGUUACGGGCAUUAUGGUACCAUUUAGAACCUUUAAACUCAAACAAUAACAAUUAUUACUAUUUAUCCCCUCUUGAAAGCUAGAAGUUAGAUACAUAACACGACUAAUUCAAUUAUUAAUUUUUGGAUAUUCAGUCAUUUCUAAACUAUUACCUUCAAUAAUAUUAGUAGAAUGAUCUACUUCAAUCAAAUUAAGAUUGCCCAAACAAUUUCAAAUUAUAACACUUGUCAUAAAUGACAGAUAAACAUUUUUAUAUAUCUCAAAUCAAGUUUACAAUAUGUUAAUGUAGUAUUCAAACACUUUUCAUUUCCAAAUUUUAAAUUAGAAAAAUGAUUAGUGAAAUUUUGUAGAUGGUAUCGAUACCAGAACAGUACCUUAUUGAAAAUCGAUACCAAAUUGCUAUACUAUUUUCCAAAGCCAAGUAUCGAUACCAAGUGAUGAGGUAUCGAUACCUAAGUUUAAAUGGUAAAAAUCACAAGUUCAAAAGUCAAUACACACCAACUACACAUACCAUCAAAUAAUACAUUCAUUUUACUGCAAAACAAAUUAAUUCAACUAUCCUAUAAUAACUAACCAAUAUGUCAUUCAAAGGAACCACAAUCAAGCUCAUUCAAUUCAUCAUUUCAUACUAAAUCCUUAUCCCAAAGUGAUCAUAUAAACCACAUUAACCAAACAUAUUCAAUUGAACCACAAGGUUUAUAAUAAAGAUAUGCAUAAUAGCUUGCCAUACAAAAGCAUUAAUACCAAGAUUUAAUUUUUAAGCCAACUUAAACUCAACCAAAACUAAUUUUCAUCUAGGCAUAAUAUCUCAACCUUAACAUUUGACAUAUUCAUAACAAAAACAUAUAUACAUGCCACACCCAAGGCCAAAAUACAAAAACUACCAAAUGGUUGGAUAGUGUAAGCUUCUCGUUGAUCCGUCCAGUCAGUCCGCUACUAUAGUAACUACAAAAGAACAUAAAUAAAACGAGUAAGCUUAAGAAGCUUAGUAAGUUCAUAGCUUAAAAGCAUCAAAUUAAUCUUACCUUACUUGUAUCAAAAUAUAAAGAAAUAAUAUAUAAUUCCUAUUAAUCCAAUACAUAUCCGUAGCUCGUAUUAGCUCUUGAUCUCAUAACAUAAAUACAUCAGGAUAAUCCCCUAUACAACUAACUUGCCAUUUCCAUAAACAACAUUUCAUUAACAUAGAUGUACUUGUAUAUAAUCAAGUCAACAAGUAAAUUCAAUGAACAUUUCAUAUCUUUACUGAUCUUGAAUAUAUAUAUAUAUCACAUUUCGAUCCAUAAAUCGAUUGUAUAAUCCAUUAACAUGUAGUUCGAUGAACUAAGUAACUCGACUCAGAUGCUCAGGUAACUACACCACACCAGAAACAUCAUAAAUGCAUAACAGGGGCACCAAAGUGCAAAUAGUGGCACAAAUGUGCAGACAAGGGCACCGUUGUGCGAACAGGGACACUGAAGUGUAAAUCUCGUACAAGCGUGCAUACUACCCUAUUGGCAUGCCAACCCUAUCCUAUACGGUUACUAGAUUCAACCGGCCAAUAUACAUAAACUCUUUACUUUAAUACGUUUUCCUCACACCAAUGUAUUUCAUAAACAUGUCCUUAUUUGAAAUUCUCCACAAUACAUCAUUCAUUAAAGUAAAUUUCACAAAAAAUCAAUACUUAACUAAAAGCGUAAAUUUCACAAAAAAUCAAUACUUAACUAAAAGCACAACAAUAUAAUAAUAACAAGUAAUUCACACUUAUAAGGCACAUCACUAUGAACUUACCUACGAUCACUUCCGAUUACAAAGCAAGGACUACUCCACAAUUUUCCCUUUUCCUUAGUUGACGUCUUUUUGGUUUGAUUCUUGAUAUGCAAAGAGUUUAUGUUGGUCGAAUAUAAAGCUCCAACAAUGGUGGUUUUCUUCUAAAUUUUCGGUGCACUCCAUGUGAAAGAUGACAAUGUUUCUUUUAUUAUUAUUUUACUUUAGUUUUAAUAUUAAUUUACUAUUCUACCCUUUUUAUUUUAAUAUACAAUUUAACAUAACCUUGUCCAUAAAAUUCCACUACUUUUAUGCAUGGCAUAUUUACCACCUAAGUCCUUUAACUUACAUCUCCAAAACCAUUUAACCCAUUUAACUAAUAGCAAUCAACUUUUGCAAGUUUUACAAUUUAAUCUUUUUUAAUUAAUUAAACAACCAAACAUUAAUAUUUCUUCACCAAAAUUUUAUACGACUCUAAUGCAACCCUAUAAAUAUUAAUUAAACAAUAAAAUGCAACCCCACAUACCAGAAUUGUGAUCCCGAAACUACUGUUUCUGGCACCACUGAAAAAUAGGGUAUUACACUUAGAGUCACAUUUAUAAAAAAUUAUGAACGCACCAAUUUAUGGCUUCACAAAGUCUAAUAUCCUUAUUGAGCCCAUGCAAAUCAGAUUUUAGAAUACUCAGACUUAGCCCAACAAAUUGCAGGAAAUAGACCAAGUGUGAGUAUUCUGAAAUCUGUUCAGGCCAUGUGGCCCACACGAUCUGGCACCCUAUAAAUAUUAAUUAAAUUAAGGUGUGUGCUCCAACCACAUGCCCAUGUGGUUUACACGGCCUAACACGCGGCCAUGGCAUCAUCUGCCAGUUUCAAAUUUUCACAAAAUUUCAAAUUUUCGUGACUUUUCACAAUAUUUACGGAUUAGAACACACACUUUAAUGUUAAUUGGUUGUCGGCACCGAAUCAGCACUCCAAGUUUCUGUACACAACAUCCAUGACCAACCCAAUUAACAACCAAUAUCAACACCGAAGCUUGAAUUCGAUAUUUAAAACUUAAUAAAACCAGCCCCUAAAACUAACAUUUGGUCGUUUACCUCAGAAAAUCAGCGGUUAACAACAACUAGCCUGUUGGCGGAUUGCGUAUCUCACGAUUUUCACCCAACAGAACCAAAACUCUCUCAAAAUCAAAGUCAACCUUCUAUAGACAAACGAAUUAUGAUUGCAAAAUAAGAUAACAAAAAUUAUGCAACUAUACCGAAGUUCCGUAGAACACACAACCAACAAUGAAAACAAAGAAUUGCCAACGUCACUAAGAGGAUUCAAACACAAGACCUAAAAGUAAGUUAUAACUUUACCACUGAACCAGAAGACUCAUUCUUACCAAUAAGCUAACAAGAAUAAAUUAGAACCUACAAGCAAUGAGCCAAAAGAAGGAAUAAAAAUAAUACAAAAUUUUUAAGGAAAGCAAUUUGAACACAAGACCUUAAACACAUAAAUAGAAUACUUAACUAUUGAACUAAAUUAAUUUAGCUAACAUAAUUUAACAAUUUAAAUCUAAGAAAUUUGGGGCGUUACAUUACAAUUGUGCUUAACCUAAAAUCAGGGAUUCAAAUCAUAUUAUAUUAGUCAAGGUUACGGACCAAUAAAUGCUAUCGCGGUAAAAUUUGAUAAAUAUCAGCAACAGAGAAAAUUGAAAUUACAAAAUAAUGACUGUAAUAUCAUAUUGUGACCACUAUUUGAUAUUUUGAAAUUUUCUCGUCAUUGAUCAAAGUGACAAAGAGAGGGAAUAAAACUACCAAAUGAAAGUAACAUAAAAUACUUGAAAGAUGUUGUAAUUGAGGAAGGGGCCAUGCUUUGGUUCUUUGCGUGAAAGAUGAUUGAGAGAAAGCAAUGGGAUGCCAAUGCCAUACAUUUUGUACGUAAAAACAAGCCGGCCUUUCAAUUGCUCUUUUAUCAACUAAAUUGUAAGUUUUACAGCCAAGGCAUAUCACAUUAUGGGCAGUUUUUGUAUGCUUCUGAAAACCCAAAAAAAAUCAUAUGCAUAGUGAAAACAACAUUGCUUUCUUUCAACUGCAAAGACAUUGGUGAAAACAAGAUUGCUUUUGAAAACCCAAAAGAAUCAUAACACAAUUUAAAUCACAAAUCCUCAGUCUGACUAUACUUCCUUUCAACUGCAAAGACAUUGGUGAAAACAACACUGCUUUCUUUUGAUAGGGAAAGGGUUGGGCGCUAUGGAAGGCAGUGUAGUCAGGGCGAGGAUUUGUGAUUUAAACUGUGUUUUCGACUGUGUGGCGUUUAAUAUACUGAAAAAAACAUUGAUUGCAUUUUUGGCUUCAGCUUUGGGUGGGGAAGAGGUUGAACUUAAUAAUUAAGAUGCAUCAAAUUGAGGAUUAGGGAUUUAAGUUGUAAUUAUGGACAUGUUUUCAGUAUUUUGCUAGUAAUAUUGAAUGCUGCAAUCAAAUACGUAAAAGAAAUGACAAACAUUGAUUACAAGAAUGCCAUGAUCAAUGAUGGAGAAAAAAAAUUCAAAAAGCAUAGUCUUCUUUUUAUUUAUUUAUUUAUUUUUUUUGUAAUAUUGGGGUUUUCAUUGUGAUUGUAACACAAUUUUGAUUUUAUCACAUUUAUAACAAAAUGUAGGUGAAAAAUAGAGAUAAUAAAUAUAAAAAUAUAUAUUAUAAUUAAUUAAAGUUUUGAUUGAAAUGAUAAAAAUUAAAUUUUUAAUAAAUUAUGAUUGAAUUGAAUCUCAAUUUAUACGUGACACCAAUUUAAUUAAAAAUCAUAUGAAUCGUAAAUAAAAGAAAAACAUUACUUUCUUUUUCAUACUUUAACUUAAAGGGAGAAGUAGAGUUAAACUUUUAAAUAAGAUUUAUGAUUAAGGGUUAUAGUUUAAAUAUGCGAUACGUUUACUUACAGUUAAAGAAAACAUAACAAUAAUAAUAAAAUUAAAUAUUAUAAUAAUAUUAUAAUAUGAAAUAAAAAGUAAAUUAAAUAUACUACACCUCUGCACAAAUAUAUGUAAGUGCUAAAAAAACCCAUCAAUCUCAAGUUCAACUGUGCACUAAAUUUAAAAAGGACCAAUAAGAAAUAAGAAAAAUGAAAAUGAAAAUCAUAUCAUCAUUUAAUAGGGUGGCCAACGGUCGUAUCUAAUUAAUUAUUGAGAAAAAUGAAAGGGAUCGUAUCUUUUUAGCACUGUUGAAGGGUUCCAACUGGGACUGUGUGGGGUUUGUCAUGUUGGGAGGAAAAGUAGAGGCUUAGGAAGGACCCACUUAUCACGUGGGGAGGAAUUACCCUAAUGCCAAAUCCAUCAACAAAAACAAAAGCACUGGUCAUUUACAAAUCUCCCCUAAUCCCUUCCCGGCCAAUUAUCAUCUAUCUCCCACGUGGGAUUCCUGCCCCCCAACCCGGCCAUCCCCAUCCCCUUCCACCUCCUUUUCCAGAACUCCCUAUAUCUUAUAUUCUUCUACCCCUCCCCCACCCCCCUAAGAUUUGCUACAAUCAUAUUGCACUUGUAAUCAUGGGGGAUUCUUCAACUUCCUACAUACACAUGGUCUUUGCUUUUCUUUUUCUUUACUUUGAUUCCGUAUGUAUUAAGUAUAUAUGUAAUGCUUUUUCUUUUGUUAAUUAACAGGUGCAGCACAUGAUAGAAAAAUGUUUGAUCUUCAACAUGACAAAAGAAGAGUGCAUGGAAGCACUUUCAAAGCAUGCAAAUAUUAAACCUGUCAUCACCUCUACUGGUAAACUAUUAACACACAUAUUUUGCAUGCAAUAAUGGAAUUAAGGAUAGUGUUUUUUGGAUUAUUUGGAUCAAACCCUAAUGAUCAAGUUUUGGGUUUUGCUUAUUUUCUUGAUAUCUUUAAUGAUUCCGUUGCAGAUAUUAUUUCAAUCCAUUUAGAACUGAUCAGCUUCAACGGGUUUCGUUUUCUUCUACUGAUAUCUUAACCUAUCCACCUAAAAACUCAGAUCAAACUAGAGUAGGAUAAGGAAAAAGGUCGUCAAAUUUAAACAUAUUUUAUGUCAUCUCCUUAAGUGAAUAUUUUAAACUAAUUGAAUUAAACUUCGGGUUUUCUUUUUAACUUAAAUGGUUUCCAUGAUCACCUGAACUAACUGGACUAAAAUCCAAUUCAGGUUUAAACUUGAUCAAAAUUUGGGCUUGAAUCUAGGUGGAAAUUUUCAACAUAUUUUCACAGAAUUGCAGCUUUCAGUUAGUCUUUUUACAUUUUCAGAUCAGCUUGAUUACUUGUUGGUUCAUUUUGUACCUAUUUUUUUUCUUUAUAUGAUCAAUGGUCAUCCUAUUAUGAUAAUAAGGAAUAAGUUAUUCAUAUAUAUAUAUAUAUAUAUGUACAGUUUGGAAUGAGCUUGAAAAGGAAAACAAGGAAUUCUUUGAAGCCUAUGCACAAUCUCAAAGCAAACAAGACCGAAUGUCCGAGGAAGAGACGAGCCGAAUGAUCCAGAAGAUGAUCUCGGAUUCCUCUAGUAAAGACCCUGACAAAUGAGAUCGGUCUGAUCCGGGAUUUAAAUAACGGUUACACAUUCAUCAUUUCUCGAUUCCAACUCCUUUGUCAUUGCUAUUCAACAUAAUUGAUUACAAUAACAUCUAUUAUAGACCAAAAAUGUAAGUAUUGCAACUGUAAUUUAAAUCCCGUUAGAAAACCCGAAAACCUCCUUCCCUUAUCUAGCGAAACAAAUGAUACCAAAAUCAAAGCCAUUGUCCAUGGAAUCCUUUUAGAAAACUUUGGGAGGGGCAGUGGUCCUAUUACACAUAUGUUUACUACGGAAGAUCACGGAGUAUUGUAUUUUGAUUAUCAUAGGUCCCCCUUUCCAAAUAAAAUCUAAGCUACCCUAAUUCAAAUAAUCAAUCAUUGUAUGCCACGUGGAUACCGCAUAACAAAAUUCCGAAGAAAAAUACGAAAAAAGGUUAUUGUCGUAAUUUUAUCUCAAUCUUCGUUGAGGGUUACUCGUCAUUAUAUUAUGUUAGUAUAUGUGUAUAUGAAGUUAGAAAAUUUGUAUCUAUGUUUUUGUUGUAUGUAAAUUGAAGGGGAUAGUUAUGGUUCUAAUGGCAACCUCUGAAAAUCUGUGUCAUCCUUUGUCUUUGCAGAAGAUUCUUUUGUCUUUGCUUUGUCUCGUGUGUGUAGGUGUAUAUAUAUUAUUGCAUACCAUGUGAGUGAAAAAGCUAUAUAAAAAUAUAUUUAUAAAAAAAUUGUUUGAAGCUUUAAAGAUUAUACAAUCUUAGCUUCAAGUCUCACAAUACGUAUUUAUAAAAAUAUAUAAAGGAAAAAAAAAAUUUAUAGCAAUAUUUAUUAUUUUAUAAAAAAUUAGUCUUUAGUAAUUUUGUAACUAUUAUUUAUCAUAUUAACUUAUACCACUAAAUCAAUUAAAAAAAACUUUAAUAUAUUAUGUUUUAUGAAGAAAAAUGGUACAGAACAUAAAAACAAAACAGUGGGGACUCCUUGUCUUUAGAAGCUUGGUCACGUUCACGAAUUUUUAUGCUCCAUUAAUGCAUGUGAAGGCGAAUGAAUGGAAAAGUGUAGAAUUAACACUAACACUUGAAGACAGAACAUGUAAGAAAGUUUAUGUAAUCCUAUGUAAGGAUUGGAUUCCUUAUUAUUAUUGGUUUGGAUUGGAUUGACUAAAUUCUAGAUAAGUUUAACUUGAUCUCUAAGAAAUUUCAUCUACUCUUAUCCAAAAACUGAAUUAUUUGACUGAGUUGAAUUGAAUUAAUUCGAAUAAUUAAAUUUUAAUUUAGAUAAACUUAACUUGGUUUGAAUUAAUAAUAAAAUUAGAAUUUUUAUUUAAAUUUAAUUAUGGAAAAAAAUAUUGAUGUAAAAAUAUUAUUAAUAUAUUAUUAUUUUGGAAUAAUUAAAUGGGUUAUUUAAAUUAAUUUUAAUGGACUUAAGUAAGAGAGUUUUUAAUUUUUUGAGCGUCUUAAAGAAGUUUUGAAUCUCAUAUAGAUACUGCAUUAGAAUUUGAAUUCAGAUAUAAAUGUUAACACUAACUUUAUUCUAUGAGAUACAUUUGUGGGAAAAAUCGUGAGGCCCAAUGAGUUAAUUUGACAAGAACUUACGGGUUGGUGCAUACUAAGAUUUUAAUUUAGACAAGCCGAGUUUGAAUAGGAAGAAGUUCGAGCUUGAGUUUGAGCUUAGUUAGAACUUGCUAGUCGAAGCUCGGCUCAAGAUAGAUCAAAUAAUAUUAUCUAAGCUUAAAUCUAAUUCAAAACAAAACUUAACAAUACAAGCUCACCUUGGUUAAACUGGUUUACGCGAGAUAUAUGUUAGAAUGUUUAUUUAUUAAAUAAAUAUUUUAUAUAUAUUGGUGGUUUUUAAUUUUAUAAUACAAAUUUAAGUAGUUUUAUAUAUUUAGGGUAAUUACCAUUAAGUAAAUAUUUUGACUUAAAUUGUUGCCAUAUUUUGUGGGAGAUUAAAUAGACUAUGAGAGAGUUUGAUGGUAACUAUUCAUCCCUACUCUUUCAUUCUCUUUAAAAAAUCCACAUACUUUUUUAGAGUCUUUUCAGAGGUCCUCAAUAUUGAAAGUUCUGUAAGCGUACAAAUUCUACAUCCACUACACACCAUCUUCGGCCAUCCCAACACAUCGUUAAGGGCGUUCAAUGCCCAACCAACCCUGCACACCAUAGAGUGUAUGUCUAACAUGUUUACAGAAACGCAACUUAGCUACUAAAUCAUAAUGUGACGAAACGUCGGAAUCAGAAUUAUACAUAUGGUGGCUUAGCCACUAAUUUAAAACAAAUCACUUCCUUCUUCAUAAUAUCCCAACCCAUGCAUAUGCAAAGAACCAAUAUCCACAAUAUGUAUUCAGUUAUUCUAAAUUGUUCCACAAGUAAAUAGCACAGUUCAAUAUCAGACUAAGUAUCACAGUACACAUACAGGUAUAGAAUUCAUGCAGAUGUCGCAGGGUAUCAGAGAAUUCUCAAUAAGUCAAAUUCAAACCAUUCAUACCAUGAGAUGUCAAUAUCAGUCUUAAGUAACAUUUACGGCCUCAAAAACGGUUUUCAGGCCCUUUUAUAUGCGCCACACUGCCUAAACACACAUCCUUGUCCUUGCCCGUGUAGUUCACAUGGCCUAGGCACACGCUCAUGUCCUUACCCGUGUGGUUUUAAAGCAUAAAUAAGAGAGUUACAUAGCCUAGACACACGGCCGUGUCCUUCCCCGUGUGACUCACACGGCCUGGGCACACGUCGAUGUCCUCGCUCGUGUUGUCCUAAGUCACAAACAGUGAGUUACACAGCCUAGACACACGCCCAUUUCCCUUGCUCGUGUGAAACCUACACUAAUAUCGUCACACAUGUCCGUGUGCCUUGCCCGUAUGGCUCCAAAUUGAUGAACAGUAAGUUACACGACCUGCUACACGGCCGUGUGGCGUAAACAGCCACAAUUUUUGGAGACCAAAACUUGCAAAAAUUAACGUUUUCGGUACGCACCUGGUCUCACUUUGCUGGAAAAAUAAUGCGGAGACUACCCAAAACCUAAUUAACCAUUCGGCAAUCAAUCAUUUGAGUAAAACGACUAAGUAACUCUACAUUAAUACUCAAUCAAUUAUGUCGAAUAAAUCAACACAAGGAAACUUUCAACAACGAACGCUUACCAAUGAUUCAACCGUGCUAAAUCGGCACGCCACACGAAAGGUCACUUCCCUCCAUACUGACGACUAAGGGAACAAAACAAUUAGUUAUCAUAGAGUUUAAGUAAAACAAUCAGAGAUUUCCCAAUUUAACAACGCAACAGAAAUCUAACAAAACUUCACAGAAGUUGAAGGAUUCCGACAGAACUUACACAGAAGUCUUCCAAUAACUUAAGGGGCUUACUAAUUUUUUAUAUUCACUUGUUGAACACAAUCGAAAAGGAGAAAUCAAAGAAGUAAAAAGAAGAAAGAAAGGAAAAAUAAAAAGAAAGAAGAAGAAAGAGUACAAAACGUUAACAAAAUUUUUAUGAUGUUUUUAUAUUAACCACCCACUUACUUCCGAUAACAAGCAAAAAUUCUCCUAACUCAUACGGUGGGAUUCGAACUCGGGACCAGACAGGAUACAAACAGAUGCUUAACCAAUGAACCAGCAAGCUCAUUCCUGACAUAGAUUCAUACAGAAUUACACUUAACCAUAUAUUGCAAAGAUAGCGGUUGUUUGAAAAGGAUAAAACUUUUAACGAUACAACUCGAACUCUAGAACUUAAACACAAAAGCAAAGCACAGGACCACAGAUAUAGAAAUUUAAUUACUGUAGAUUCUCACAAUUAAAUUUUUAAAAUUUUGGGGCGUUACAUAAAGUCACAGCUUGAAUUCUCAAAGUUGCAACAACCAAACCUAGAGAUAUCUUGUAAUCACAUAAAGGUUAAUAACUUUAAUUUGUAAUUAAUCAUAUUAAUGUAGUUAUUUGCUUAUAUGGAAUAAUUAUAGUUUCUUGAUCAAUUAGGAUGGAAUAGAGGUUAUUUGUUUCCUAAUUAGCGUAUAAGCAUUAUGAAAUAUAAGUAAUUUCUAGUUUCAUGAAUAAAGAAAAGUGGCUUAUAUUUUGUGAUAUCUUUGCUUAUCGGGAAAUGUUAUUAUAUGCCUAUUUAUUUAUUGUUGAUUUGAUAAAUGAUUUACAUUGAUAAAUUCAUAAUUUUGUUUAAUGAUUUAUGGUUCAAAAUUUUUUAGUAAGCAUGUAACACCCCUAACUCAUAUCCGUCGUCCGAACAGAGUUACGGAAGAUUACCGAAAUUUAUAAAUCAAAUACAGACAUUUCAUUUCAUUUAACAUUCAUGUCAGAAACCAAAUCAAAAUCAAUCAUAUUGUCCCUCACUUGAGCCCUCGAGGCCCAAACUACACAUUAGAAACAAGUCGGAACUAAACCGGGAGCUCAGAGAAUUUUUCGCGAAACUUCAAAAAUUUUGCCUAGGUACAGGGGACACACGCCGGUGUGGCCAAGCCGUCUGGCUCACACGAUCAAGAGACAUGCUCGUGUCUUAGGUCGUGUGGGCAUUCGAAGUAAGGUACACAGCCGUGUCCCAGCCUAUGUCCAAAUUAGGGUGCUCUCUGACUUGGGUCACACAGCCAAGCUACAUGCCCGUGUGAGCAUACUAACUUGCAUUUAAUAAGUACAGGGGUUACAUAGCCAAGCCACACGCCCGUGUGCUAGGCCGUGUGAAUAAUUAUGAGUGUUAUGUUUCUCAAAUUUUAAGCUGCAGGGAACACACAGUCAAACCACACGCCCAUGUGCUAGGCCAUGUGUCACUCAUGGCUGAGACACACGCCCGUGUCUCUGCCUGUGUAAACGAAAAUAGGCCAUUUCUAAGGCCACUUUUCUCACCCAAUUUGUCUUCCACCUACAUUAACACUUUAACACUUUCACCAACCAAUACAAGACAUCUAACUCAAGCCAAAACCAAGUUUAAUACAUAUCAUAACACCCCAUAUGCCUAAGUAUUCAAUCUUACCUAAAUGACCAUAUAAACAUAUAUGCAUAUUUCUCCAAUCAUGUUAUUUCAAACCAUUCAUCAACAUAAUAAACAUGAUAAGCCACAUAUAUAUACAUAUCAAAUAUAUACUUUUAAGCCAACAUUGGCCAAAUCACCCUAUACAUGCCAUUAUAACCAAAAGUAAUUUGCUAUUUAUACCGAAAUGAGCUGAACGAUAGUGUGAUGUUGCUCCGACCAACUUCCAACCAAAUCUUGCUUCCAAAUUACUAUAAAACAAAAGAAAUGAAAUAGAGUAAGCAUUUAAUGCUUUGUAAGUUCAUAUAACGGAAAUUAACUUUCCAUUUAUUUACAUUUAAGGUCAGCAUACAAAAUACAUCCAAAGAAAUUUGGCUAAUAGCCUAAACACAUAACCUCAUCAAAUAUGUUAGUCUUGUAUUUCAUACGAAUCCCAAGAAACAUGUAUAAGCUCAUCAAAUAUCAAAUUUUCAUGUGUUUCAUGUAUAUACAGGUAAUUAUUCAUUCCAAACUCAUAUUUUCUCAUGUCAGGAUUUUGCCCGUUGAAUCAUUUAAAAUGUCGAUGGAUACACGGGUAGUACACACAAAGUGUACAAAAUUGUAAUUCAUCAAUUCAUAUUCAAGAAUGCUCAUACGAGCACAUAAAUGGGAAGCUCUGUCGAGCCAUAUAACAGGAAGCUCAUGUGAGUCAAUAUCGAAAAGUUUAAGCGAGUCAAUAUCGGGAAGCUCCGGAGAGCCAUUAAUCGGGAAGCUCAUAAGAGCCAGUUAUCGGGAAGCUCCGAAGAGCCAAUUAUAGGGAAGCUCAUAAGAGUCAUAAUGAGAAGCUCACAAGAACCAUAUAAUAGGAAGUUUCAGAGAGCCAUAUAUCGGGAAGCUCAUAAGAGCUGCGGUGUGUUCACAACACAUGUAGGAUCACAACCAAUCGAGAUGCUCCGAAAAGCUAUUAACGGGAAGCUUGUGAGAGCCAUAUAUCGGGACGCUCAUAAGAGCUAUGGUGUGUCCGCAACACAUGUAGGAUCACAGCCAAUCAGGAACUCCGUAUCCAUCGAAUUUUAUUUAUUCAAACGAGACUUAAUACUUAUCAGUCAUUGUUGGUUAUGUGAUUAAUAAAUACACAUAAAAAUUUAUACAAAUUUCAUACAUGACAAUUACACCAUCCACAUACACAAAAUUCAAUUCAAACAUAUAGAUAUACAAUUUAGUUACACGAACUUACCUCGACAAAUGUUCGUGUACACAAAAGCUACUAAUCCGCUACUUUUUCUUUUCCUCGAUUUAAUUCCUUAUUUGAUCUAUCCGGAUCUAUAUGAAUGAAUUAACAUCAAUUUAAUACAAUUCAUAUUCAAUUCAAUCUAAUCCAAUUCACAUCUUAGGCAAAAUUACCAUUUUGCCCCUAUACUUUUGAUUAAUUAUAGUUUCGUCCCUAGGCUCGAAAAAUGAAAUUCAUGCAAUUUAAUCAUUGUUCCAAGCCUAACCAAUUUUCACAUGUAACAAUAGCAGCCCAUGUAUGUCAUAAAAUUCAAAAUUUUUCCAUGAAUUUUACAUCUUUUUAUCAUAAUUUCAUCAAAAUUCACUUAACAAAAGUUGUUUAUCUAUCAACAACCUUUCAUUUUCUACCAUAAAAAUUCAAAAUUAUACUAUAUUCAUCCAUGGAAAAACCCUAAUACUUUGAUAAUUUUACAAAUUAAUCCCCGAGAUAGCUAGAUUAAGCUAUUACGAUAUUGAAAAUAUAAAAAUUAUUAAAAACGGGAUAAGAAUACAUACCUAAUUAAGCCAAAAUAGUUUGCUUGAGCUCAACACCCAUAACUAGGGUUUUCAUGUCUUUAUUUGGGAAAGAUGAUGAAUAUAAUGAUAUAUUUUUAUUUAACUAGUUUAUCAUCUUUUAUUAUUUCAUCUUUCCAAUUUAAUCCUUUUCUUUUCUUAAGUUUCCAAUGACGAAUCAUCAUACUUAUCCACUAACUCCUAUAAAUGGUUUAUUUUCCAUAAAAAGACCUCAAAUUUUGAAUUCCAUAGCUAUUUGAUCCCUUUAGUUACUAGAAUUCAAUUUUUGCACUUUAUGCAAUUUGAUCCUUUGCAUCAAGUUUGACAUCUAAUCGGUAAAAUUUUCUUAACAAAAUUUUCAUACGAUAUUUCUAUCAUAAUGAAGACCAUGAAAUAAUGUAAAAAUAAAUUUUAACCAUGAAAUAAUAUAAAAAUAAAUUUUUCUUCCGAACUCAGAUUUGUGGUCUCAAAACCACUGUUCUGAUUUCACUGAAAACGGGCUGUUACAAAGCAUGUUUGUUUUUUUCUCAUACAAUUGAACCAACUAUGUUAAUACUUGAUAACAAAGUUCCUAAUUUGAGUGGUGAAAAUUAUAAGAAAUGGAAAGAUGUUGUUUUACAUCUUGGCUAUAUUAACUUUGAAUACACUCUCCGUAGAGUUGUUUCCAAUACUGAAGGGAGUACCCAAGUUGAGAUUGGUUUGUAUGAACAAUGGGAACGAUCCAACUAUUUAAGCAUGACAUUUAUCAAAUAUCACAUAAUAGACAAAAGCCGUGGGUCGAUACCGACUUGUGAGAAUAUCAAGGAAUAUAUGGAGGCCCUUGAUGCUAAAUUCGAGUAAUCCGAUAAGGCUUUAGGAAGCACCUUGCUGAGUAGAUUGGCAUCCAUGAAGCUUACUAAUAUCAAAAGGGUUCAUGAGCAUAUAAUGAAAAUGUGUGACAUUAGUGCUUAACUUAAGUCCUCAAAUAUGAACAUUACUGACAACUUCUUGGUGCAUUACAUCUUGAACUCUCUUUCAUCUUAUUAUGAUCAUUUUUAAGAUAUCUUAAAACACACAUAAGGCUAAAUUAUCAAUCAACGAACUUCUAACCAUAUGUGUUCAAGAGGAGUAGAGACUACUUCAGGAAUCUAGCAAGGUUACACAUCUAAUCACAGGAAAUUAUAAGGCCACUUCUAACAAAACUAAACAGUGGAAAGGCAAUGCCAAUUUGCAAAAAGUAGUAGCAAGGGAAACAAGGAUGAAUUCAAGUGUUUUUUCCAUAAAAAGAAGGGACACGUAAAAAAUGAUUGUCCUAAAUGUAAGGCAGUUGGAAAAAAAAAGUAAUCUCGUAUCUUUUGUAUGUUAUGAAUCCAAUAUGGUUACAGUUUCACAUAAUGGUUGGCAGAUUGAUUCUGGUUCUACAAUUAAUGUUUACAAUACCAUGCAGGAAUUUCUCAAUCUAAGGAAACUGAUAGGAAAUGAGUGCAACAUCUAUUUAAGUAGUAAGAUGCCAUCAUAUGUGGAGGACAUUGGGACUUAUCAAUAAUUACUAAGUAUUAGUUUAUUUUUAAUUUAGAACAAAAAUUUUAUAUUCUUAGUUUUUCAAGGAAUUUAAUUUUAGUUUCAAGACUUUUACCAUUUAGAUAUAUUUUCAACUUUUGGGAUGGUUUUUUUAAUUUAAUAAAGGACAUUUUUUGUUUUGGUACAAUGCUUGAAGGAUUGUUCAAAAUUAUUUUUAAACGAUGGAAGUGCCAUAUUGGUUAAUGACUUCACAUAUCGGUGUUGAUAAUAAAUGUUUUGUUAUAGAUGAAAACUUAUCUCUUUUAUGACAUCAAAUAUUAGGAAACAUGUCCAUUAAGAGAUUCAAAAUAUUGGUAAAUGAAGAGGUUCUUCAAACUCUUGACUUUAUAAAUUUUGAUAUUUGUGUAGACUACAUCAAAGGAAAGCAAACUAACAAAAAUAAGAAAAUGCUAGGAGUUCUGAAAUUUUAGAAAUCAUACAUACGAACAUUUGUUGCCCUAAUAUAGAUGUUAGUGAUUAAAAGUAUUUCAUUACCUUUAUUGAUGAUCAUUUGCAAUACAUGUAUCUCUAAUUUCUCCAUCACAAAAGUGAGGCAUUAGUUGCCUUUAAGGCAUGCAAAACAUUAGUAGAGAAACAAUGUAAAAACCAAACUAAGAUUAUGAGAUCAAACUAACAAGAACAAGAAAUAUGCUAAAAGGAGUUCUAGAAUUUUAGACAUCUUACACACAGACAUUUGUAACCUUAAUAUAUAUGCUAGUGGUAAAAAAUAUUUCAUCACCUUUAUUGAUGAUCUUUCUCGAUACAUGUAUCUCUACUUGCUUCAUCAUAAAACUAAUUCAUUAGAUGCUUUUAAGGUAUACAAAGCAUAAGUAGAGAAACAAUGCAAAAAGCAAACUAAGAUUAUGAGAUUAGACUAACAAGAAUAAAAAAAAUAUGCUAAAAGGAGUUCUGUAAUUUUAGAAACCAUACACGCAGACAUAACAAGAAUAAGAAAUAUGCUAAAAGGAGUUCUGUAAUUUUAGAAAUCAUACACACGGACAUUUCUUUCAUCGAUGUGGAUCCUAGUAGUUAAAAGUGUUUCAUUACUUUUAUUGAUGAUCUUUCACAACACAUGUAUCUUUACUUACUUCAUCAUAAAAGUGAGGUGUAAGAUGCCUUUAAGGUAUACAAAGAAAAAAGUAGAGAAAAAUGCAAAAAGUAAAUUACGAUCAUGAGAUCAAAUGUAAGUGAUAAAUUUUUUUGGUAGGUACACUGGUAUAGGACAAGAAAUGGGACCAUUUGUUUAUGGCUCAAUACAACUUGCCUAGCAUACCAUUAAAGAAAGGUGGUGUUGAAUGAAGAAAUAAACGCUAAUGAGGAUAGUAAAGGGUAUACUUAGUAACACUAAGCUACCUCAUUCUUUAUGGAUUGAAGCUUCUAAAACAUUAGUGUAUAUCUUAAACCAAGUUCCAAUUAAGACAGUUCUUAAAAUUCCAUUUCAGAUAUGAAAUGGUUGGAAAUCGAGCUUAAUACAUUUAUGUGUUUGGGGUUGUUCAGCUAAAGUAAGAGUUUAUAAUCCACAAGAAAAGAAAUUAGAUCUCAAAAUCAUGAGUUUCUAUUACAUUAGAUAUGUAUACAAAUAUAAAGGAUACAAGUUCUAUUAUCCUAACCAUUCUAGUAGGAUCAUUGAAUCAAUGAAUGUUAAAUUUCUUGAUAAGGAUGUGUUUAGUGGGAAUGAUUCCAUUAGAGACCAAAGUAGGUUAAUACAUAAAGAAUCGGUCUUGAGAUAAAUGGUAAAACUCCUAAAUCAAGUAAACAGUUGGUUGUUUUUCCUAAUAGCUAGGACAAACAUUAAAGAACCAAUUGUUCAACAUGCACAUCUUGUUGUGAUAGCUUUAGAGGAACAACAAUUAGUUGAACCUCCACAAAAGUAACAAUUCUACAACAACCUUCAUAAGAGAUCGUUGAUGUUGGUUUAAAAAGAUCUUCUAGAGUGAAAAAUUGACAAUUCCUAUUGAUUAUGUGGUGUAUGCUACAUGAAUCCGACUACAACAUUAGUGUUGAAGAUGACCUGGACACAUUUUCACAAGCCACAGAAAGUACUAUAUCUAAAUGUGGUAUGAUACUAUAAAUGAUGAGAUGAAAUAUAUGCCAAAUAAUCAAGUUUAUGACCUUGUUGAGUUGUCUCAAGGGGAAAAAACUCAUUGGCUCUAAAUGGAUAUUUAAACCAAGAGGUGUUUAUUAAUCAACAUUGAAAGAUACAAUUCUAGACUUGUUACUAAAGAAUUCACUCAAAAAAAAAGGAUUGAUUAUAAGGAAGAUAAUUUAUUGUUUCCAAGAAAGACUCCUUUUGUAUCAUCAUGCCAUUAGUUGCUCAUUUUGACUUCAAUUUGCAUCAAAUAGAUGUGAAAAUAGCCUUCCUCAAUAAGGAUUUAUAGGAAAAGGUUUAUAUGAAACAACUUGAUGGGUUCAUCUCAAGUGUUGGUGAGAAUUUGGUCUACAAACUUAAUAGGUCUAUUUAGAGACUUAAGCAUGCCUCUCAUCAUUGUAUUUAAAAGUCCAUAAGGUUAUCUCUUCAUUUGGUUUUGUAAAGACUAUUAUGGAUCAAUGUAUAUACUAUAAGGUCAUUGAGGGCAAAAUCAUCUCUUCUAUUACAUGUAGAUAAUAUUAUGCUUAAACCAAUGAUUUGAUUUUGCUACAUGAAGUGAACCAAUUUCUCUCUCAGAACUUUAGUAUGAAAAAUAUGGGUGAGGAAUCUCAUGUCAUUGCAUUAAGAUCCGUAGGGAAAUAUCUUAGCACAUGUUAAGAUUACCAAAAGAAACUUAUAUUAAUAAAAUUCUUGAAAGAUUUUGAAUGAAAGAUUAUUCAACAAGUGUUGCACCCAUUGUUAAAGGUGAUAAGUUCAAUUUGAACCAAUGUACGAAACUCAAAAUUGAGAAGGAAACAAAUGAACAAUAUCUCAAGUGCUUCAGAUGUUGUACUCCUGACGUAUGACUAAGUUUGUACCAGACCUAGCAUUGCAUUUCCAAUGUGAAUGUUAGAAAGAUAUUAAAGUAAUCAUGGGAUAGAAAAUUGGAGAGCUGCAAAGAAAGUGAUGAGAUAUCUUCAACUAACUAAAAAUUACAUUGUUACAUGUCAGUAAUCUUACAUUUUAGAAGUUGUCGGAUAUUCAAACAGAUUUUGUCAAUUGCAUUGAUUCUCGGAAAUCAACAUCAAUAUAUGUUUUAAUGUUUUUCGAUGGAGUCAUAUCUUUGAGAAGGGUCAAACAAACACUAGUGACUACUUCUACUAUAGAGACUAAAUUUGUUUAGUGUUUUGAAGCUAACUUACAAGGUAAUUGGUUGAGAAACUUCAUUACAUGUUUUAGAGUUGUUAAGCCUAUAUCUAGGCCCAUACAAAUAUAUUGUGAAAAUAUGGAAAUGAUGUUCUUUUCUAAGAACAACAAAAGUCGAAAUCAAAAUAAACACAUCAACAUUAAGUACUUAGUAACCAGGGAGCAUACUAAAGUCCAUCGAAAUGCUCAUUGAACAUAAAUUCAAAGCUGAUAAUUGUUGAUCCUCUAGCAAAAGGCAUAUGCCACCAAAGUUUUUCACGGGUUAUGUCUUUGAGAUAGGAUUAUCCUAAAACUGUCACUGUGAGGUAUUAUUUAGUUUAGUUUUCUCAUUCUAGUUAUGCACAUUGAGUAAGGUUCUAAAUGAUAGCAUGUACCACCCAUUUCAUUUAUUGUGUUGGCUUUGUUGUUUAUAUAUAUAAGGAAAAUAUCUUUCUUAGAAUAAGGUUUUCCAUCUUAAUUCCAUGUUAAAUUCGAAAUCAUUGAUCUGUUGUAUCCAUAUGGAUAAUAAAAUUAAAACAUUUCCAAGUUAAUAAAAUCUAGAAUUUUUUUUUUAUUUGAACUAUUUUUAAAAUGUUUUGUCUGAGAAAUAUGAUCAUAAUUAAAUUUUUAAUUGCUUAAAUUCGUAUAGUUUAAUCAGUUACAUAGUUUUAUCAAAUGUUUACUUACAUUUAAUAUUCAUUUUCUUAGCGCAACUAACCAAUUAAAUUAACCGAAUCAAAAAUAAAUGUAUAAUGUAAAAUUUAGUUCUUACUAUGUAAAUCUUUUUAUCAAAUUUUGUUCUUAUACUUUUGUUGAGCUAAAUUUAACUUUUAAUUUUUUAAAAAGAGUCAACAUUGUAAGAAAAGAGUUGGAAUGAGAUUUUUUUAAUCAAAAUACUAAUUAAACUAUUAAGUUUUUAACAUGCAUGACAAUCCAUGUGUAUUUAUGUUUUUUUUUAAUUUUUUUAUAGUUUUAAAUUAUUUGUUGACAUGACAUAUAAAAUAAACAAAGUUAUAUCAGCUUGAAGUGCAUGUGAACUAUCAUACGAUUACCAAGCCGUUUUAAUCAACAUUUUCAUUAAAAAAAGUGAUCUGAAUUUUUUUUGAAAAGUUAACAAUUAAAUUUAAUUUAAAAAAAAAAGAAAAGAAAAGUAGGGUUUUAUCUUUGUAAUAUUAAGACAAGAAAAGUUAUACUUGCUAUCCAAUUAUUACAAGUUUGGAAAAGGUUGAAGCAAAAAACAAGUCUGAGUAAGCAAAGAGAUAAUUGAGUGGCCUUAUCUUUUCCAACAUCCCAUAAUCUCAAAACAAUAUUUCUUUUAAGAAAAAAAAACACCAAUAAGAUUUUGGUAGUAUUAUUCGUGAAUGUUGAAGAUAGAUGCAGGACCUUUAACGUCUACAAUCGAGUUUUACCAUGUAAAAAAUAUGUAUACUUUUUUUUUAAAAAAUUAUUUAAUUUUUAUUAUAUUUAAUUUUUUUAUAUUCAUUAAGUCCGUUUUACGGUUCAUAUUCGAGGUUUGUGGUUGUUCCUCUCAACAAUGUCGUAUCUAAGGUUCAAACCUGGGUUCUCUCCUUGAGAGUGUAAUGUAUCUUACCAUUACACUGUCGGUAUUAUAUAUUUAAUUUAAUGUCCUUUGUAAUACUAUCAUAAUUGAUGCAGUAUCACUCUUGUCCACGAUUUAUUUAUGCAACUGAAGGAUGAUAUUGGUUCAGUUCCAUUAGAUCUUUUAGAUUUUUUGAACUGUCAAUCUUAAUUCAAUUCGAAUCUCGAUUUUUCUAUAUUAAUUUUUGGUUUUGGAUUUUUAAAGUAAUUUUAAGAAAAUGAGUUUUUGUUUUAUAACUUCGACAAAAUUUUAAAGUCUUAUUCAUAAAUAUUUCUAAAAAUAAUAAUAAUUAUUCAAGAAUUUUUAAACUAUUUUCACUAUUUUAAAUAUAAAAUAAUUAUUUUAUAUCAUAAAAAUUAAAAUUAAUUAAUAUUAAAUAAAAAAUAGAAUUCUGCUCAAUUUCAAACAAUCACAAUUUUUAAACUUACAUUUUAUAAAUAAUUCAAACACUCAAUUCGGUCUCACUCAACCGUAAUGCAACUAUUAUUUAGUGGUGAAAUCACUGCUGUAAACACUCCUUCAACAUGCAAAAGCUACGAGGAUCCAGACUAGACGCCAUUUUUUAAGCACAAUCCUAAUGCAUGCUCUAUUGGCAACAAAUAUUGGGAUAAGCUACAAAACUUGGGAGUCUUUCAUCCCAUCCAAUUACGAAUUAGGAGUUAAAUUGUAAACUUUUGUUUUAAAUUUUGAUUACCCACCAAUUUCAAGGCAAUCAACAUCCUAUUUUGGACGUCAAAAUUCAAGAUUGGAAUCAUUUUCGGACUUAAAAGAAUUUAUGUACUUUACUUGAAUAAACCAUAGUUUAUUUUAUUAAAAAACAUAUGAUUGUGAAUUAACUUUAUUAAUAACAUAAGCAUAGAUUAUUACCAUCAUUGGUAAUUCGAUUCGACUCAAAAAAUUCAAAAAAAAAAUUCAGAAUUCGAGUUUAAAUUGUAUUAAAUUUUUGAAUUCGAAUAAUUCGAAUAAUUCAAACAAAUUAAAUAUCAAAUCAUUUUACUUUCCUUACCCCAAUUUUUUUUUCCUUUUUACUUUUUCCAAGCCCCCAAAACAUUUUUGUUUUUGCUUUCCCCCAAAUCUUUUACUUUUUCCCAAACCCCAAUUUUUUUUUUCUUUCAAAUUUAUGUCUACUAUUUAUAUUAUUGAAUUGUUUAAUCAUGCUGGACAUUUAUCAAUUUCUAUUAAAAUUGAAUUAUUGAUGAUGCCAUAAAAUAUUCGUGUUAAAAUAUUCUGUUGGUAUCCAUUUCACAUUUUAUCUUUAAAAUAAAUUUUAUUAAAAAAUCACAUUUUUUACAUUUAAUAUAUUUUUAAUUUCAAAAUACAUUGUCAAAAAAUUCAUAAAAUAAUUAGAUAAUUGAAGCAACUAAGUAAUCAAAGAAGCUAACCCGUAUAUAAAAGAUUAAUAAAUAAAUUAUGAGGGGAUGAAAGUUAAUAACAAAUUUGAUUACGGUGGGUGACAGUGACUAUAAAGACCCAAAGUUAUUUUUUAAUUUAACUCAAACAAAUAUAUUCAAUUCGAGUUCCAUAUCACUUGACUUGAUUCGAAAAAAUUCCAAAUCGAGUUAGAAUAAUAAAAUAAAAUUCUUCAACUCAAUUAACUCAAAAUAUUUUUAUUCGAUUCGAUCAAAUGACCACCCUUAAUUCACACUCCAAUCUAUUAGGAUUUUCACGUUAAAGGGUUGGUUAGAAUCCCAUAAUUUAGAUUCAUUAAAAUUCAAAGAAAGCAUGGUCUCUUUUUUCACCCGUUUCGAGAACAUAAAGAAACCUAAGUAUUUUCCCAAGAGGUUAGUGGCUUUGAAUUUUAGGCAGUUCAAUACUCACUCGUUUUGAGUAGGUGAUUUAUUGGGUGAAAAUAAAAUUCUCCAUUUGCUAUGGCUGGUUUUUUUAUUUAACUCCUCAACCAACAAAUCCAGAACAGACUGGAUAGUUGAACUGGGUUGGUGAUUCGUCUUCAAAAAAAUGACAUCAUCAAUGAAGAAUAUAUGACAUAUUUGGGCCUUGAUGUGAGGUGCAGAGAUGUUUCCAUUUCUUAGUAUCGACUCUUGGGAGAACUCAAGGUUAAAGAAUUCCAUACAAAGGAUGAAGAUGUACGUGGAAAAGGGAUUGCUUUGUCUUAUUCCUCGUGAAAGUUUGAACUCCUAAGUUUUUCUCCUUUAACCACUAAUUAGAGUUCCUAAGAUGAUAUAAUUGUUGGAAGUUUCCAUGUAUUUUAAAGAUUUAGACAUAUCUCACAUAUAACACCCUAAAUCCAGUCUAGACGAUAUUACUAAGUAUAGAGAGCUAUAUCAACUCUUUCUGAAAAAAUCCAACCUUUAAUAAUUAGUGUUCAAACAACCCAAGACAUUUAAAAGUUUACAAUCAAAAUACAAAACCCAACAUUUAAAGUCCACAAACCCAGUAAGAUGAUAACAACGUAAAACCAAAUAACAUAACAAGUUAAUUAAAUUAUAUGAUUGAGCUCCUGAAACGUCGACCCGAUCAACUCUAAGGAUUACCUGAAAUUCGAGUAACAGUCGAAAUGAGUUAUAUACUCAAUGUGUAACUUAUGGACUAAUUAAGUAAAACAGUCUCGAUCUUACUUUCAGAUCUUAUUUAGUCGAAUAUCAUAAUCAAAAACGAAUACAGAACAUAUCAGAUACAGUUACAGAUACAGAACAUAUUAGAUACAGUUACAAAUUCAGAUACAAAUGCAGAGUCCUACCCCCAUCUGCUACACCAUCUCUAACCACCCCUCCACACCAAAUAGGGUAUCAAAUACUCAUUCAUCCCUACACAUCGCAUAGUGUCUAUAUGUCACAUUCAGAACAUUACAGGCUAGUUGCCAGAUCGAAUGUGAUAACUCGCUAGAAUCAGAUAUGUAUAUAUGGCUUAGCCACUAGAAUCAGCAGAUAAUUAAACUGCCCACACUUACUCCUUUAUCACAAAUUCCAUCCCAAUGCAGAUGCAUGAUUAAUAGAUAUCAAACAUGCAUAUACAGUGGUAUAGAUCCAGACAAUAUAGAACAUGCUUGCUCAUCAAAUAACACGACAAAUUUAUGUCCAUAUAAACAGAUUGUCCAGUAACAGGCCAUCAGACAAUAAGUUUUAUAGCCUAAUUCAGAUCUUACGGAAAGCUUACGUUUGAUUUAAAUGACAAUUACGGCCUUAGAAAAAAAUUUUAUUUUUGACCUACACGCCUGCGUGGAUUCACACGGCCUAGAUGGUUGGCUCGUGUAGUUUACACGACCUAGCACACGCUCAUGUGGUCUAGCUCAUUAAUACAUAAGGUUUUGUUACUCAAAUUCCCAAAACAGUGAGUUACAUGGCCUGGACACACGCCCAUGUCUCUAGCCCGUGUGACCCUAAUUCACAAACAGUGAGUUACACGGCCUGGACACACACUUGUGUCUCUAGCCUGUGUAAUCCUAAAUUCAAAAUAGUGAGUUACACAGCUUGCCACACAGCCGUGUGGCUCACACGACUUGGAACACGGUCAUGUGGCGUCAACAACCAUGUUUUUCAGCCUCUGUCCUUCGUAAAAUUCUGAGUUUCCGUUACGCCCCUGACACUAUUUCGACGGGGAAGCAAUCAGGACAAAUCCAAAACUAAAAACAACAUUCCAAAGACCAAAUAAACCAUUAUUCUCCAACCAAUUGCCAGAAUUAGACUCCAAACCAAGUUAUGUCGAAAAGCUUCAAUGCAAACCUCUAACACGAAAGGUCAACACUUACCUUCGUACAACGCAGAAAGUAAUAGACUUAAAGCAUUGGAGAAAAUUUAGCCUCGAGACCUUCGCCGAAAAGAAGACCAAGCAGAAAACACGAUUCCAACAAAAUCAAUAAACGUUAACAAAAUUUAACAAUACAACUUACGUAUUUAACCUUCCGGUCGAAAUACUAUAAGACACACGACUUCCUCAACAAAACCACAACAAAUUUUAACAAAAAAAAACUCAAAACGAUCAACAAAGAAGAAUCGCAACAAGCAAAAAAUGUGGAAAGAACACUAAAGAGGGAAAGUAGAAGUAAUCAAUUUUUUUUUAAAAAGUAACUUCACUUAACAGAGUGAUACUGAAAAUAUAUCCCUCUUUCAUUCACACAAAGACUUGAACGUAGGACUAAAGAAAAUAUAGAAGCUUAACCAGUGAACUAGCAAGCUCAUUCUUUAGUCAAACUUACAUAGAAUUAAACAUAAGCCACAAUUGCAAGGCUAAGGGUUAAGUCAAAAAAAAUAGGAAAUUUCUCCAAAAUUGGGAUUCAAACCCUUAAUCUCAAACAUACAACUAAUGAACUAAACCAUUGAAGCAGAUGCUGAAUUCAUGUCAAGAAUUGACAGAUAAGUAUUCAAAUUUUUGGGGAGUUACACCACAUCCUUUAGAUACACCUAUUAAAUGAUGUUUAUAUAGUGUUUUUACUAUGGACUUAUAAGAUCCAAAAUAAGAGGAUGGGUACUCACGCUUUAAAUGAUGUUUAUAUAGUGUUUGCUCUUCCUUGUUCCUUGAUUUCCAAAGGGUAACAGAAGUGCUUGUUGAGUUCUGAGGGACAAUGGUAUUCACGCCUCAAGUAGCAACUCUAAUUUUCUAACAAUAACCCAUGAUCAAGUUUAUCUAUUCGGCAGGAAAGUUAAAACAAAAUGGACUCUACUAGUAAAACCUCACGGGAGUCUAUAUUAAGCUUUUUUCCAUAUUCAGUUUAAUGAUCAUGAUUCAUGUCUUACCUUUGAACUUUCAAAUUGAGUGGAGCACUUCUUGUACAAUAAUGGCAUUUCACCAUUCAGUGCCCUUUAAUGAAACUAUUUUCAAUUGGCGAGAUGAUCUUCUCAAGAAGCUAUCUAAGUCUAUGGACAAGAUUUUUGUAAUGACCAUAUAAAAGGUGUUAUUGAGACUCCCAUAUUGGCUCACUAAAAUAGGGGAGGGAGUUUUAGGGAUCAAUGAUAUAAGGAUUUCAUUUGUGCCAAUUAGGGUUUUCUAGGUACUAAAAACCUCAACCACCAUAUCAUAUACCUUUCUUUUAAUGGAACUUCAACAUCUUUGGUAAAAGAGGGAAUGAAGACCAUUUGGGCUGAAGGCUUUAAACGGUUUAAAGGAGAACAUUGCUAUUGCAAUCUCGCUCUCAAAAAUGGGAAAAUCAAUUUCUAUCUAUCUUGGGAUGACAAGAUUAUCCAAAGAAGGGUGGAGGGGGAUUUCUUUGUAUUCAAAAUAAUUUUUUUGAGUCAAACUAUUUUGAGAAAGUAUUUUGUAUGAUUACAUUUAUUCCCUCUUUCUCAGUAGUCUAUUAUUCUAUGUUAUCAUUAGGUCUUAAGAUUUUGUUUAAACUCUUCCUUUUAAGAGCAGUGGGAAGCAAAACCUUCGAGUUUUUUCAUGUCAAAUAACCAAUCUACUCUAGAUUUCUUAACCUAAAAAUCCUCUUCCUCCUUCAAGAUCUCUUGGUAUUCAUCCACGAAAGUCUUUUGGAGUUAAAGAAGGAAAUCACAACUUUUUAUUUCUAUAGCUCAUUCAGUUCCUGCAAGUUUAGCAAGAAUUUUACUUUUCUUAUGAAAGAAACUAUCAAACACUUCUUGAUUCCAUAUCUUGAGGAGAGAAGUGAGUUCCCCAAUGGGCUAGUGUAGAGUGGUUUACGAUUCAUUCCAAACCUGUAACGACCCGAUAGUCAGGGGUGUCGAAAAGUACAUUCUCAAGACUCUGUUCUUAUAAAUCAGACUCAUAAAUAUUUUUAAUAAAUAUUUACAAAACUAGUUGUGUAGUUAAUUAGGUUUCGGUUAAGCGAAUUUACUUGAAUUAAAAGUAAUUAGGUAUAAGGACUAAAUUGCAUAUAGGGUGAAAGUUUAAUUAUAGAUUAAAGAACAAUUAAAGGGCCAAUGUAGUAAUUAUACCUAUAUUAUAAUAAUUAAAGUUAAAAUAUGAAAUCCUAAUAAUUAAGUAAAUGUAUAUAUAUUAUAUAAUAAUAAUUAAAGUAUAAUAAAAUAAAAUAUGUAAAAAACAUACAAACUAAGAAAGAAAUAGAAAGAAAAAAAACGAGACACACGGCCAAGGGCUCCAAAUUUUCAAAGUUUAAUUGGUUAGUCAAUUUAGUCCUUUUUCUUGUAAUUUAUAUGUUUUUGGAAUCCCAGUACCUAGAGUAACCCAACCCAUGUCGAAAUUUUAGCAAUUAUUAAGUUUUUAAAUGUUGUUAAUGUUGAAUAAUUUUAGUAUUAGGGAUUAAAUUGAUAGAUUUUUAAGUUAGAAAUGGAAAAGGAUUAAAUUGUAGAACUAAUUGUAAAUUUUGAGUAAUAGGGACUAAAUUAUGAAAAAUUUGAAAUUUAGGGAUUCGAGUGAAAAUAGAGAGUUAAAUUUAGCUUAAAGGGAAAUUAGUAUGAAAAUAUAAAAUUAAAUGUGAAAAAUAAAAAUUAGUCUUGGUUUAGGGACUAAAUUAGAAUUUAGGCAAAUAUUGAGUAAAAAUUUAAAUAUUCAAUAUUUAAUAUGAAAUUGAAAUUUUAUUGUAUUGAUGACUUUUAAUUGUUUUAAUUCCAUAGCUAAUGUCGUAUCGGAAUCCUCGACUAAAAAGGAGAAAGAUAAAAUCGACGUUGAAUAGCUCGGAAUUCCUAGUUUGUAUUUCUAUAAUUCGAACUUAGUUGUUAAUUGUUAUAAUUCAAUUUAAUGCAUAUGGUAAGUGUUGAGGUGAGUAAUUGACAUUUGAUAAUUAAUUGAAAUGGAUUGAAUUGGUAGAUACAUAUUGAAUGUAUUGAUUAUUGAAUUGAAAUGUAUAUAUAUGUGAUUAUAUGAAAAAUUAGUAUUGGAUAUUGGUUAUAUCUAAAAUGUGAAAUUAAACUCUAUCAACUGUAUCAGGCUGAGUCGGAUAUAGAUGGCAUGCCAUAGGAUAGGAAGAGUUCAAGGAUUUCUUCGACUUUGAGUCGAUGAGGCACUGGGUGCCAAUUUACUUUGGUUUAACCAAUGAGACAUUGGGUGUCAAAUGUAUAUAGCGCUGGGCGCAUAUUACUUUAAAUUUAUCCGAUGAGGCAUUGGGUGCCAAACUGGUGUGUUGGUUGGAUCCGUGUAUCCGUCCUAGUCGUGUUAAUAGGGGUAAUUAAAUAAAACAGUACUAUGAUUGAUAUUGGAUGAUAUUGUAUGUGAAUUGAAAAUGAGAUAGUGAUUUGAAACAUGAAAAUGAGAUACAUGAGUUAUGUACUCAUGAAUUGGAUAUGGAAUGGCUAAUGUCAUUAUUUAAAUGAUAUGUAGAUCAAAUUGUGAAAAGCUAUUAUAUAACAAGUGAUGAGAAUUGAGUAUGGCAUGAGAUGAUGUAUUCAUAAGUUGAGUAUUGAAUGGCUAAUGCCAUUGUACAAAUAAAUAUGGUUUGAUAUGUGAAUAACUAUUUAUAUAGCAAUUGUGUGAAUUGGGACAUUGUUUAACAAAUGAAAUAUGAUAACAUAUGAUAGUCAUGAUACUAGACCUUAAUAUGUGCUUAAAAUUCAAUUGUGCAUAUUAUAUUAUCUUGCCUUUAAAUAUUCGGAUUAUAGAAAUACCACUGAGCUUUACUCAACGCACAGUUUUGUUUUUCCGUGCACAGAUUAGGUACUUCACUUUUGAUUGUCAAUUCAGCAUCCAACAACGAUCCCGAACUCAAAUGUGAUGAUGUUUAUCUUUUGUGUUGGCAUGUACCUAGGAUGUCUAAAUGAUAGUUAUUUUGUGGAUGGAUUGUAAAUGAAAUUGUAAGUGUUAGGUUGGUUUGGUAUAUACAUAUAAACAUGUGUUUGUGUUUGAAGCCAUAUUAUGGCACGGUAAAUUGAACCAAAUUUAGAUAUUUGCAUGUGAAUUUAAGUUGAUGUUUAAGUGCUUAUUAACUAGGCAAAAUGGAUUGAAUUUGGUAUGUUUGUAAUUUGGAUUUGAAUGAUGCUUAGAUGAUAUGAAUUGAUGAUAUAAACGUGGUACCAAUGAGGGUACAUUGGUUAGGCACUUAGAAUGAUUGUUUUGACAUGUUUUGAAUCUGUUUGAUCGUGUUUUGAACUGGUUAAAAGAAUGGUUUUUGAGUUGUUUAAUGUCCAAGCUUGUAGGGAAUGGUAAAUUUGUUGUUUAAGGCACAUUUUAGGCCCACACGGCCAGACACACGGGUGUGUAACUUGAUCGUGCGAGACACACAGGUAGUAUAUGGGCGUGCGAGGCCAUUUCAAAGAGUACACAGCCUGGCACAUGGGCGUGUGGCUUGGCCGUGUGACCCAAGUCAGAGAGUUACACAGUCGUGUGUCCCUACUUCAAAUGCCCACACAGCUAGACACACGGACGUGGGACUUAGCCAUGUGAGUCACACAACCUGACCACACGGCCCUGUGAACCCUACAGUUAAAAACUUUCUAAUUUUUUUCUAAAAAUUUUCAAAUACUCCCGAUUUAGUCUCAAAUCGUUUCUAAAGUGUUUUCAAACUCUCAAAGGCUUAUUAAGGGACUCUAUGCAUGUUAAUUUUGAAUCAUUACAUUAUUUUUGAAAUGUUUGAAAUGAAUUAUUAGAUUAUGAUUCUCAGUAAUGCUCUGAAACCCUAUUCCAAUGACGGAUAUGGGUUAGAGGUGUUACAAAGCUAAUUGAAAGAUUUUUUCAAAGUCAAGGUGGUCUAGCCACAUUUUUUGAAACCUAUAAGGUUAACUUUUGGUUUGGUCUAUGUUUGGAUUAGAAAAAAAAAACUAAGGAAAUCUAAGUAAAAUGAAGGGGAGGAAUCAUCUUUCCUUUAUUUGAAAAUUCUUUUAUUAAGGUAGGGAAAGUAAAGGGAGUUAAGAAUCCUUCACUGUCCCUUGUUUUACUUUAUUUUUAAAUACCCCAAUUUGAGGUAAACUGAGAGGAUAGGAAAUGUUGUCAAUUUUAAAAUAUGUAAAAUAUCAUUUUUAUCAUUCUAAAAAUAUUACUAUUAUAUAUUGUUGUCUUCAGGAAUUAUCAGCAUUCUUUGGAAUAAUUACCACCAUUCUUCGAAAUAUAUUCACUUAUAAAAAUAAUCUCUUAUUUAAUGCAGCACACCUUAACCCGUAGGACUUGGUGCAAGGUAAAAAAUAUAUAAGCACAAACAUAGACUUUUAAUGGAGCUAAAGUUGGUAAAGAUUACUAAUGUUAUUCCUACCCAAUAGAGGCUGGUAGAAAGUUUAGUUUUACAUUGCUCGUGCAGAAAGUUCUCAAAGCAUGCUAGUUGCUUGUAGGAGAGUAACUAUAUAUAGAUUGUUUAUUUAUGUUUUAAUGUGGAAUUUUUUUUUCAUAUAAAAGAAACCAUUUUUGUCAAAGUAGAGAUCAAACAUAAAGAUCAAUCACCAUAUUUUCAUCACCAUAAAUCGAUAGUCCAACCAUUUUUCCAAUUUCUAACAUCUCACCCAUCUCUAUUUAAAAGAGAAAAUUAGUCACCAAUUUACAAGCUUUCUUACCUAACAUUUUAUGUCGUAACCCUCUAUUUUUAAAAGUUGUAACAACUGUAUUUUAUUAUUUAUCUAUUUUAUAUUAAUUAGGAGUCUUUAAUUUUCAAAUUUGUUUGAUAUACAUUGCUUGGAUUAUUAACUCAAUUUUUUAAGUUAGAAUUCAAAAAGUAACAACCUUAUAUUUAUAUAGAGACUGAUGUCUCAAUUUUUUUAAAAACUCUUUUCUUUUAUUAAAAUUAUCUCUACCGUAUCAUUAAAUGUGGGGUAAAUUACUUCGUUAGCCACUCAAAAUAGCGGUUAUUCCUAUUUUGGUUACCCUGAAAUGGUUUUUGUUAAUUUGACACUACCACUACAAAAAUUGACCAAACUGGUCACUCUACGGUUAAAUCUAUUUCUUCCACCAUUAAGCCUAUUUUUUGUUCCUUUUUCCAUUUUUUUUUCUUUUUUUUCUUUUCUCCCUUAUUCCUUUUUUUGUUUUUCCUUCUCUCCUCCCAUUUUCAUCAUCUUCUUCCUUACACUACUCUUCCUUGACAACUACACUUUCACAACGCCACUAGUUAGAAUAGCCACCAAACAAUCCACAUUUACUUUUUCUUUCAAUCUAAUAGUUCAAAGCUUCUCAAAACCCACUAGAAAACCACGAAAAUACCAAGUCAAUUUUGAACUUCCCUUGUCUCAAUUUACCACCUUCGUUGUUUGAUUGCUGAUCGCUUAUAAACAUGUUAUUGUUUAUAGUUAAAUAUAACACCAAAAUUUAAGAUAUAAGAACGGCGGUGUUCACAAGUGCACGAGUCAAAUUGUAAUAUGGUUUGUAUAAUGAAAUACUUUGGAAGUAUUCUGAGGAUCGUACCCAAGGGAGGAUGGAAUAAAUAAUGAAAACAUUUUUACAAUAACAAGUCUAAAUAGUAGUAAUUAAUCCCUAUAUUACGAUAAACCAUAAAAUAAAUUGAAGAGAUAAAAAGAAAUAAAUAAAGAAAAAUAAACAAACAAAAUAAAUCAAUAAACCAAUCAGUAAUAUUUACUUGCUUUAGGGUUUGUAACUAACUUUGGAUUAGGGUUUUAGGGUGAAUUAACUAUCGAUUAACCAAUAAUUACCUCUCGACCUAUAAUUAACUAAUCGAUUGGUUGAUACUUGCCUAUCUCCUGACCUCACUUUCUCAACUAGGAUAAAUUACGAUUUACUCGGUUUGAAUUAUCUCCCAACCUUAUUGAGCCUAUGAUAACUUCCUAAGGUUUUCAAUCCUAACAGUUUAAGCACACAUAAUUCAUAACAAUUAAUCCCUCUCAAGAAACCCUAAAUCCUCCAUUAAUCAUAUCUCAUCCACUCUUUAAUCUCCCUUAAGGGAUUUAGCCACUCAUAUUAUUCAUAAUCUCUAUCUUGAUUGAAUAAAUCAUGUAAAGAACACGAUCAAUUGGGAAGACAAAAUAGAAUUAAAAAAUCAUGGAUUGAAUAUCGAAUCUAGAACGGAGUAGUAAAUGUCUUGAUUGGAAUAAAGAAUUAAAUUGAAUGCAAAAAGAAAUAUAAACUGAAGACUUUGAUAAUAUAAAUAAACUCUUGAAUCAAAAUUGAUUUCAAAAAGAAAACAAAAAAGUAUUGAAAAAUUGAAAAGAAAAUAAUCUAAUCAUGCUCCUAAACUACUAUGGUUUUUGAAGGCGUCUCGGAUGACUUAGUUACAUCAAACCCCUAAUGUCUUAUUUAUAGAUGUGUUGGCAGUCCAAAUUAGGUCUUUAUAUAAGUUUGAUUGCGCGGACAAACAUAACCCUGAUAAAAUUAUGCAACAGGUCGACAUGUGUCGCGCCAUACCCCUUGCGUGGUGCGACACAACACCCAAAUCUUACCUAAUGUCGUUCGUUUGGUGCUUUGAUUUCCUGAGAAGCUUGGGUAUCACUCAACCCUUACUUCCAUGUCAAUUGGGUCUUUAUAUCUUCAUCCUACACACUCAAUUAAACAAAUUAGCACAACCUAGGGCCUGUGUUGGCUUAUUAGGUCAUAACACCUGCAAAAUGUGUUAAAAAACACUUAUUUUAUUAAUUUUCUAUCCUAAAGCCUAAAUACUGAUGUAAGAGGCCCAAUUUUCCCGGGCCUAAAAUCACAAAGAAAUAAAAACCAAAAAAAUAAUUAAAUGUCCAAAAAGUCCAAUUACAAAAACAAGCCCAGAUUCCAUUACCCUAAUUACAAAUCAGCUAAAUCUAACCCGAACGGCCCAAAUCCCUAGCCCGUUUCCAGAAACCCAGCCCAGUUGCAUUGAAGCCCAAAACAAAAAACACAAGCAGAAACCCUAGGGCAUCUGCAAACUCCAGCCGCCGCAUGUGGAAACCAGUUUCGUCUGCGCGCGUGUGCUAGCAGUCACUGUCCCUCCGCACGCACCAGGCGCAUCCUCCCUCCAGGCUGGCUGAGCACCAUACACCUACAACACAAACGAAAAACGAACGCAAUGCACACAGCAACAAACAACAAAAGCAGAAUAGCAGAGAAAAAGGGGAUUUUUAGAAAAAAAUUCUUGUAAAAGCUUGAUUUAUUCCCGGCUAUACAAAAGCUAUUUUGGAAUUUGUAAAAAGGGGGGAUCCUUUUUUUACGCAUUCAAUAUAAAAAUUGAGAAUACAGAGAAAAAAAAGCAGAGAAAGGUGAUUUUCGGGAGUUUUUUGUUCUUUUCUAUUUUUCUUCGCUGGUUGCUUGAUUUUUUUUGGUUGCUUUCUUUUGCUAGUUUUUUAGAUUCAUCAAUCGUUUUAUAAAAGAGAAACAAAAAAGAAAGGGGGAAGUUAGAACUCGUACCUGGCUGUGCGACCUUGGCUCUCUCUCCGUCGUCAUCGGAGUCUGGGGCAAGGUUCGGGGAGCCUUCGAAGAAGGCGAUGAACCGUCGUGCGGCGCAGAGGGAGAGUGUUUAGUUUUUUGUUAUUUUUUUUCUUUUUCUUUCUUUCAAAUGGCAGAUUAGAUUAGUUUAGGGUUUUUCUUAUUUUUGGGUGGAUUAUCAAAACGGCGCCGUUUAGCAGCCUUUGACCCGCGUGGUGACCCGACUCGAGGGGAGGAUCCGCGCGUUUUGGGUCUGAGGGGCUAUUUGCGCACUUAAUCCCUCCGCAUUUUGUUUUCCUUUCAAUUUGAUUUUUCUUAAGUUUUUAAUUUAUACGUUAUAUUUGAUUCGGAUUUCAAUUAAGUACAGUUUGGAAAGGUGUCGUUUCACGUGAUUGGCAUUGAAUAUCCAAUUUUAUGUUUAAUUACUGAUUUGGUCCUCCCAUUUUGUUUUACUUUCGAUUCUACCCCGAAUAUUUGUCUUUGAGUUCAAAUUAGUCCUUUAUUUUGUUAUUUUGCUAUUUUAUUAAUUAACUUAGUUUUUUAAUUCAUUUAUUUAUUUCUUAUUUUUACAUUAUCAUAUUAUGCUAUGAUUUUUACAUUGUUAUUAUUAUCAUAUUUCUAUUUUAUUUGUUUAUCUAAGUUUAAAUAUCUUGUAAUCCCUUUUAUUAUUAUUAUUUAUCCAUUUAUACCAUUUUUUAGAUUUUGUUAUAUAUAUAUAUAUAUAUACAUGCAUACUAACAUAUAUAUAGGUUUUUAAUUUUUACAUAUAUGUACGUACUUAUUGCUUUAUAAUAUACAUAUACAUACAUUUUUUUAACAUGCGUACACGCAUAAUUUUUCAAAUUUAUAUACAUGUACAUAAAUACCUACCUUUAUAUUUUUAUAUGUUUUAUAACUUUAUACGUAUAUAUAUGUAUACAUAUAUACUCAUUUUUUUUAUAAUUUAUAUAUACAUAUAUUUAUACCUAUAUACAUAUUUGCUAAAUUUUUGUAAGUAUAUAUUUAUAUGUACGUACUUAUAUAUUUUUUUUAUACUUUCUAAUUUGUAUAUAUAUUUACACCCAUAUUUGUAAUUUAAUUUAAACAUAUAUAAAUUAUAAUCAUUUACUUGUUUAUAUAUCUUAAACUUUGANNNNNNNNNNNNNNNNNNNNNNNNNNNNNNNNNNNNNNNNNNNNNNNNNNNNNNNNNNNNNNNNNNNNNNNNNNNNNNNNNNNNNNNNNNNNNNNNNNNNAUUUUAUACAUAUUUAUGUUUAUAAUCUUUUAUAUUUGUAUCAUUUCGUUAAUUUUGUUCAUUUAUUUACAUGUUUAUUAUUGUUUGUUUUCUUACUUUAGUUUCUAAUUAUUUGUUAUUUUGCCCGUAUGAUUGUUUUUAUUAUUUAUUGUUUUGCUUGUAUCAUUUUAUUUACAUUGUCAUCGUUAUUAUUAUUUUGCAUCCAUUUUUUACUCGGAUUUAUCAAAAACGGAAAAUUUCAAAAUAAAAGCAACACUCGGUAUUUGGGAUCUUCGAGAGAAUCGAGCCCUAACGUAUUGGGUUCUGAUUUUCUUUGUUAAAUCUAAAUAAUCGAGAUUACUCUUUUUAUAAAAAAACAUAAAUAAAAACUCAUUAUCGAGAAUUCAAUACGUUGUGUCCUAAUGCAUUGGAUAUGACGUAUUGUAUUCUCGAGACGAGGAUUUUCUAACAAAUGCAAUAUUCGAUAUUUAGGGAUAUUGUGAAAUCGAGCCCUAACUUACUGGGUCUUGAUUUUCUCAUUUAAUUCAAAUAAUCGGAUAACCUUCUCAAAACGCAUGGGUUUUAAAAGUCAAGAGAUAAAUUUAAUUUUGAAAAUUUAAAAUGUUGCACUCUAACUUACUGAGUGUGACAAUUUAUUUCUUUGAAAUAAGUGAAUCUCAUCGUCUAAUUCAUUUUAUCCAAAAGAAAAGGAUCGUAUUUUAAAAUCUUUUCAAAAUUUCGACAUUAAGACAUUAAACAAUUAAUUCGGUACCAAUUUUGGGCGUCACGAGGGCGCUAACCCUUCCUCGUGCGUAACCAACUCCCGGACCUAUUUUUUUCAAAUCUCGCAGACCUAAAAUUUUUAAUGGUGAACCGGUACACCUUAAUAAAAGAUCGGUGGCGACUCCCAUUUCCAUUUUUAAAGUCGAUCCCUAUUUUUCGAAAAACUUCAAAAAGAUGGUUUCGACAGGUAAAAAUAUAAAUUAAAAUACCAAAUUGCUUAGAAAAUAAGCUCCUUAAAUACGAAAUUGACCCGAAUUAACUACUACAUUUGACGGUAAAUCACCUUAGGUAUAAGAUAUGUGCCUCUUCUUGACCGAAUACACUUCAUCACUUUGAUCAUCGCGUCACAGUUGACGCAUCCCCCCUGAAUUUGUGUUCGGUGUUGCUUUUGAUAUUGAGCAUAUAUGGUGUCACCAAUGAAACUCUUAGAUGGUUUGAGAAAUUGUUUCAGUUGGCUUGAUAUCCACCCCAGCUUCACGGCACAAGUCCGUGACUAGGUGCAGAAAUAUAUACCAACCUUUGAUUCCUUAACGCAUUUCCACAUGCAGUCAUGGAUCCAAUUUUCAAAAUAUAUGCGCUUCUCCUACAAAAAGUCAUACAACAAAAUAGCUCAGAAGACAUUAACAUUAGAAUCAUUCAAAGGAGGACAAAUACGAGUAAAGAUUAAUUGUAUCCACAUUUGGCAUUCAAAAACAUAAUUGUCUGAUUAAAACUAAGUGGUAUUGUAGCAUUAGGCCUAUUUUUCGUUAAAAAAUUAAUUACGACAUCCAUAUCAAUUUUCGGAAUAAUGGUCGCGUCCACUUUAUUCAAAUAAUCGCGUUUGGAAUAUGGAAUGUCAUAAUAUUUACAUAUAGCACAAGGGAAAAUGUCAACUUUUUUCCCUCGAACAAAACUCUAUCACCCUCAGUGUAUUUUAGAUUAGCAUAAAAUUCUAUUACGACUGGGGCAACGGCGGUCUAUUUCAAGAGAAGGAAAAAUGUGUAUCAACCAUGGUGCUUGGCUAAGUCCAACAACUCAUUACAAAAAGGACGUGGCUAGAUCAAAGCCACGCUCUUGAAUAAAAGUUUGGCUCUGAAGUUCUAAAAAAGUAGUCAUCAGCCUCCUUACACUUAUUUUUUUCACAUUAUGAUCAGGAGACGAGCAUGCAAACAUGAUAAGUGAUAUUCAACAAUAACCCACAAUAAUCAUUCAACUUAAAAUUUUGCAAGAAUAUAUGAAAACGCCCUAAAAGUUGAAGUUUAGAAUCCUUAACCUUAGUUUUGGAGAAGUAGAAGAUGAAUGUUGACCACCACUUGCUUAGGUCAUGCUCUAAUGUUGAAGACUGGGGCUAAAACAUUUAAGAGAUUAAAGAAAGAAAGUGCAGAAAACUUUGAAGAAGUACCGAAAAUUUUAAAGAAAAUCAAUAGUUCUAGCCCAAUAUUGAAAGAAAAGAGAAGGGGAAAUUGCUUUUUGGUUUGAAAAUUGAAAGAUUGAAGAAAUAGGGGUUAAAGGGGCUUUAAAAAAAAUUAAAAUAGAGGGUUUUCGGGCCGGGUCACGACAGAAAAAUGAGUUUUUCGCGAAACCCAACAGUCAUGUCGCGACUCUAAUUCGUGGUAUGGUGACACUAGGAGUUAACUAUCUCUCGUGUCGCAAUGGUAGAGAACCUCAAUUUCAAAAUAGGUUUAUUCUUUGGAUUGCAUUCAUCCCUCGAAAUAGGGUUCAAUUUAAUUAGCUUUAAGUCCAACGGUUAGCCAUUGUGGCUAAAAAUUUUGGUGGUUUUAAAGGAAGUAAUAUUCUAUAGACAGAGAGGUAUGGUAGAUGCGGGUUGAUGUUGUAUGAGAAUUUUGUUGGGUGGUCCUUAUCAUUUCCCUCAUUACCAUGAUUUGAGCCACUGCCACUAAAUGGGGGCAUUUUACGGAUUCAAUAGAGCCAUAGUUGUGGCCACAUCUUGUACAUUUUAACUUUGCAGUUUUAUCCUAACCCAAGGCUUGAGCCCCUCAAGAAAGUAGAACAUUUUAUCCUUUCCUAACAUGUUCCUAAAGUCUAUCAUUAGGGUGGAGAAACUGCUCACAAACACUCGAAUUGUUCUUGUCUUAGCUAUUUCCCUAAGCUUCCGUCUCAUUGUGUAAAGAAUUAACUCUUUAACUCUUACUUUAGAUUGCUUCAAGUUUUGAUAGGGCGUUCAUCAUUUACAAAUUUUGAACACCACCACAACUUUGCAGCACCCGCAAGAUACAUUACGGCCAUGACCACCUUGCCGUCGUCUUAGUUAGUGUACACAACCUUGAAAUAUCGCUCCAUACUGAACAAGAAAAUUUUGAGUUCUUUGUCAUCCCUUGCUCCUUUAUAGUGUCACAGUUCUGGCACCUUGGCGCGCUUACCUUUGUCUAUUGUGCAAUAACUCAUUCGUCUCACAGCCAUUUGAAGCACAUUCACUUGAGCCUCGAGCUCCUCAAGUCCCUAUUUAGUGACGCUUGUAACAUCCUUUGCCUCAUCACAUAGGUUGCUUAUCACUUCCUCAGUCCUAUGUUUAAUAAUGCCAAUGCCAUCCCUUUUCUCAUCACCCAAGCUAUUCACAUCAUUAGAUAGCUAUUUUUAGGCUAUCUUAAUUUCCCUCAUCUAGUCACUCAUGACCAUAUGUGCUUUUAAAGCAACCACUGUAGCCUCAACCUCUUCAAUUCUAGUGUGGUCCUCUGACUCACCACCUUAAGUAGCAACCAUCAUUGAAUAUGCUCAACUAAGGACAACGCAACUUGACUCUAAUACCACAUGUCAUGAACUGAACGUUGUUCUCUCAUUUGUUAACCCAUGCGACACUUUGAUAAAAGCUUCCACUCAAAUCAACCAAAAAUCUCAAUAGUCUAUUUAAAGAUAAGCAAGCCACAAAUUAAUCUCUAGCCACAUUGCAAUCCCAUAAGGCAUAGAAAAUACACCUGAUCUACCUCUCCUUCCUUUAGAAGGAAAAAGACUUUAUUAUUUUGAAAAGAAUUUACAAAGAAAAAGGGUUACAAAAGUGAUCCAAUUACACUUACCGACGUUCGACUUGGGGUCGUUGGCGCAACCCUAUAAAGAAUACCUUAUCUAAUGAAAUAGUCUAACAAUUGUUGAUUAUCCACCCCUAUAAAAUGUAAAAGUGAUUUAAUAGGAAUACUACCAUGUAACAUUUUUUUAAAAGAAUAUUGAAAAACAUUGUUUUUAAUCGAAUACUAAGAGAUUUUUUUGAGCCAAAAUGCCAAAAGGCAUUAAAACGUUUAAAUUUGGGACUUUCCUUCUUUUCUAAAUACACUAUCCCCUUAAACUCUUUACCUUGCCAUGAUCUUAUAAGGGUGAGUUUGGAUGGACGGUGUGUUUACUUGCGGUUAGUGUAAAAACAGCGGUGGCGGUGAGAUUAGACAUUGUAGCAAUACUGUAGCGUGAGACAAAAAGUAAGCUAAACGCACCGCACCGCACCCAAUCGCCCAUCCAAACCCACCCUAAGAAGGUGACCUCUAGUAUCGUACUCUAUCACAACCCUACAAAACUAAGUCGCGACACAGAAAAGUGUUGCAAACACCUAAAUAGUGCAUUGCUACAAUAGUAGUGUUUGCUUUUUCAUUUUUUUUUCUUUUCCGAUUUUUCUAAAUUUCUUUUAUUAAGUAAACAGUAAUUACAUCAAAUAAUAAAUGUUUGAUUGAUUUUUUAAUAAUAAAACAAUAUAUAUAUAAGAUUUUAAUAAUUAAAAUACUCAAAAACACAAAAACUUCAAUAAUUAAAAUGGGCCUGAAAAUCAAGUACAUGGCCCAAAGGUUCAAUUAUAUUAAACAAGAUUCUCCAAUUAGAAAAUUGUCAAAAAAAAACCUCCAAAUAAGUUCAAAUACAAAUUAAUAUUUAAUGUCUAAAUCAAUAAUUAUACUAAUGAAAAGAUUUGAUUAAUAUAAUAUUAAUACUUUUAGAAUUCAAUUACAAAAAUUAAUUUAAAAUCUGAGAGAUUAAUACUUAUGUACAAACAAAAAUUUAAUUAAAUUAUAACUAAACCUAAUAAUUCAUAUGUUUGUAUCAAUGUAAUGGUUUCAUACCAUAUUCUUAUUCAAAGUUAUAUAUUUAUAAAUUUUAACAUAUUAAUAAUUCAUAUCAUUUAAUAUAUCAGUAUCAUAUUUAAAUUAAUAUUUUCAAUAUCAUAUGAAAAAAAAGUCAUAUCUAAAGAUAAGAAACGUGACAAAAACAACCAAACAAAACAAGCUUCCCAAGAAGAAGAUUGUCCUAUUUUAUGGAAUAUGCAUUGUUGUCUUUUCUUUUCUUUCUUUUUUUUUUAAAGCUUCAAUGGAAUAUACAUUCCAAACAAUGUUAGAAUCAAUAAGAUUUUUUUUAUUUAGAAAAUAAAUAAGUAGAGGUGUAUAUGGGCUGGGCCAGGUAGAAGUUCGAUUCUAAAAAUAUUUUAGUGUUAUAAAAUUAAUGGGUUAAUAACACACAUUACGUUUAAAAGAAACUGUCCAAAUAAAGACUCACCACUUACUUCCCAAAAUUUCGAGUACGAAUAGGUUCUACAAAUGAACAUCUUUUGAGCACCAAAUUUUCAUUUAUUAUAUUAUAAUUGUGAUACAGAUAAUUAUAAUGGUUGCAAUUGCAUUUAUUAUAUUAUAAUCGUGAUAAAUUGGAUGCCAUUAUUACAUUGAUAUCUAGUAUUUAGAUAUACGAUAGGUUUUGAGUGUGCUUAGAAAAUGUCUUUGGAAAUAAAAAUCUCAUCAUUUUGAUGCUUCAAUUCCCUCUCUAACCUUGAACUUCUUAAUUCAAACCUUUGGUUUAACCAGUCGACAAUGUCUGAAAACACAAUUUCGGUGUUCUCUGGUGUUUCACCAUAUAACAGGCCAUGCCACAUUCCAGGAUAUAGCUUCAAUGUCUUGUCUGAAAUCGAUGCCACAUCGUAUAGUUGUUGGCUUACAGCUUUAUCUGUUACUUUAUCAUCUUCUCCUUGAAGAAUUAUAAAUGGUAAUGAAACCUGGAAUUAAGAAACUGUCAUAUAUUUUGUUCAAUAAAAUUGAAUUAAAAGUUAAAUCUAUAUAAAAAAAAUUUAUUAAUACCUCAUUAAGCCUUUGUUCAACCUCAAUGCUCAUCUUUAGAAGUUCCAGGCCUGUAUUUAAACGAGGACGACCUUUGUAGCAAUAUGGAUUUCCUCUAAUCUGGAAUUAAUUAACUUUAGCAAACAAUAUAAAAUAUUAAAACCAUUGUCAGUAUAGACCUAUACUGACGAAAAUGUACCUAUACAAGCUGUCACUAAUGCUAUCACAAAGUGUUGUGUGAUAGUUAAUUUCACAUCAUCUAUAUCAUAUAUAUAUAUAUAUAUAUAUAUAUAUAUAUAUAUUAGUAUAAUUAAGAUUGUUUUUAUUGUUCAUUUUACGGUUCAUAAAGAUAAAUCCUUUUGGGUUCAUAGCUGCUCUUGCCAUCAACACUAUCUUUAGGAGUUGAAUUUGAGUUCUCGAACACUUAUUCGUGAAAUCUAGAAUCUUAUUUUUUUAAAAUAUAAUUAAACGUAUAAUUAUACUAACCCCAUCUAGCUUUAGUGACGAUAUCCUCCAUCAGUAUACCAGACAUGAUUAUUGCUAUACAUAUGCGGAUACCAAACUCAAAGCGUCGGUAAAACUGAGUUGUGUCUAUAUAUAUUGGCUCGGAAAGCGUUAGUAAAUACCUGUGCCCUUAUCUCAGGCAUUUUGUAACCAGUAUCAAUGACAUCUGGACCUGGAAUCAUUCUCCAAGUUGGAAUAAAAUUGCAAAGCUUUUUCAAAACACUUGUCACUAAAGGAUGUGGCUUCAUUUUAUCUGCAAUCUGUGAAUACAAAAAUUUUGUUAAUUAAUAUUUAUAUUUUUACGAUAAUAAAAAUAUGAUUUCACUAUUUUAAUAGUCUAUAUUUUUAUAUUUUUUUAAGGAUUAAAUCAAAUUUUUAUCAUUUUUGGGAGGGAUCAAAGUGCAAUCUUAUCAUUACUAAUUUAAAAUUUUAUAAAUUAUAAAGGACCUAAAUGAAAAGAAUUUCAUUUUAGAGGAGGCCAGGGCCCGGUCAGCCGCUGGUUCCACCACUGAAUGUCUCAAUUUUAUUAUUUGUUUACGAUAAAUUUUUUAAAAUUAUCGCAUCAAAAAAAUCUAUAUCUUGAAUUUAAAAUACAAAUUGAAUCACUCUAAUAAAUUAUGCAAAAUUACACCUACUGCCAAAUUUAAUCUAGACAAGUACAAUUAAUCCCAUUCAUUAAUAUAUGAUACCCACAAAAAAUUUAUGAGUUAUUUAAAUAAUGUGAAUUAGAUUAACAAUAAAAACACAAAAAAUAAUAUAAAUGCAAUAAAAAAUAAAUUAUGGGCUAAAAUUUACAUAUGAUAGAACAAAUUCUAAAUUUUAAUAUAUUUAUAUUUAUAUUAUUUACAUUUUAAAAAUAUGAGAUAUGAUACACACAUAAUUGUAGAUCGAUGUAUCGAAAAAUGAAAUUCGGCUGCCCAAAAAUUUUGGACCACAGUCUAAUCAAGACCCUACAGCGGGCACCAUUUAUUAUAUGACAAAAUUAAGUUUUUUUUAAGGAAAUAAUUAAUUAGAAAAACGUGGGAACACGUUAAAAAGGAUGUUUUAAUAGGACCAAAAUGAAAAAAAGGUCAUGAUUUGGUAAAGGAUUCAAAAAUAAAAAAAUAAAUAAAGAGUAAAAUUACCUUACACAUGGGGGCAACAAGGACUGCCCCAUCCCAAUAGUCUGGCAUUUUCCUGUGUAUCAUCAACAACACUGCUCCUCCCAGUGAUUCCCCUAGCAAAAUUCUCAUCCUCCUUUUGUUCUCUUUUUUCUCUAAACCCAGUGUUUAAUCAUGCAAAUUACAAUUAAAAAUGAAAACAUUAAUCCAAAAAUGCAAAACUCUUGUUUAGAAAGUAAUAAUUAAGUUGAAUAAUUAUCACCACAUUAGAGGUACUCAUGGGCCAGGCGGCCCGCCCGAAAUAUGGGAGGGUUUGGGUAAAAAUAUAGACCCGAAAUAUGGGCUUAGGCAAAAAAAUGAGGCCCGAUUAAAAAACGGGUCAAGCCUCGGGCACCACUUUUUUGGCCCGGGCCCGGCCCGGCCUAGCCCGAAUAUAAUAAAUAUUUUUAUUUUAAAAUUUUUUUAAUUUUAAAAUACUUUUAAAAUUCUUUUUUAAAUUUUUUAAUUUUAAAAUAUUUUUAAAAUACUUUUAAAUUUUUUAAUUUUAAAAUAUUUUUAAAAUUUUUGUUUUAAUUUUUAAAAUAAAUUUUUGGUAUUUAUUUAAAAACGGGCCGGACCGGGCCCGGGCUUAUGAAUUUUUUCCCGGGCCGGGCCUAGACAAAAUUCUAGGCCCAUAUUCCGGGCCGGGCCCGGGCCUAGGACCCGGGCUGAAAUUUUUUCUGGGCCCGGCCUGGCCCAUGAGCACCUCUACACCACAUAUAAGCUUAACAUUGAAAGGUUAAUGGUUUAAAGAUUUCAACCCUAAAUCAUGCAAUUACACUUAAAAAUAAUCUGUAAGGUACAAAUCUUGUUAAAUUGUGUGACUCGAAUCCCGUCAUUUUCCCGCCCCCAUAGAUUUUUAUUAAGUACAAAACUGGACUGGGAUUGCAAUCGAGGGUGCAGGGUGAAGCCCCUAUGGUACGGAUCAUACCACAUAAGUUGAGUCCGUAUAGAACUAUACUUCACUAUUUGACUUUAAUUAGAACAGGGUUGAAAAAUUUUCACUUAAAAUUUGUGUGUUCUUAUUUCUCUUUUCUUAUUUAUUUGUGAUCCACGUUUAUUAUAACAAAAAGAAUUGAGAAGGUGAAAGAUUUACCACAUAUUCGAGUGAAAAAAUUGGAGCAAUCAUCAACAACAUUGUUAAAACUUGAGAUAUAGCCUUGCAAACCAGAUGACUUCCCAUGCCCUUCAUAAUCUAUUCCAUAAACUGCAAAUCCUGCUUUCACCAACCGAUUUGCUGCAGCUGAAUUCAACAACAACAAUCAUAUUCAUCACAAAUUUCCAUUCUGCAUUUUUCUUCAAAUACUCGUAUUAUAUACUUACAGCUCAUGGUGAUGCUGGACUCCAGGGCAUAACCAUGGCAGAUGAAGAUUAAACCUUUGGGUUCUUCAUUCACUGGAAUCCAUUUGCAUGUAAAUAGCUUUAAACCUCGAGAAUUCAAGAUAUAUUCCUGAAAAAAUUAUUGUUUAACAAAUCAGAAACUGAUAAUAUUAUAACAAGUUUUCAAACUGAGAAUCCAAUAGACCAACCUCAUCAUAUUGAACACUUCCAUUGUCAAGCUCCUAAAAACAUAAAUACUUAAUUAGAUAAUAGAGAAUAUUAACAAUAAAACUGAUGUUUAAACCUAAAAUAUAAUCAGAACAAACCAUGUUUUCUUUUUUCCCUUGUGUUUAUAUGGCUUCUGACUCUCUUCGUUCCCAGAAAGAUGUGAUGAAGGAUAUGCAAGAAGGUUAAAGAGUUGCUAUUAUAUAUAGAUAGAUAGAUGGAGAUGGGGUUUGGCAAUCGUGGAGAGUUGCCUGAAUAAAUUAAAUUAAUUAAAUAUUAUAAUUCAUAUGUAUUUGUGUUUCUUUAUGUUAUGAAUAAAUUAUCAUUUUAUACCUUGACAUUUUUUAAUGUGGUACUCGUGUUGUUUUUUGGUUCAACGUGACAUUUGUAUUUGACAGAAAUUAUAUAUUUUGGUAUCCAAAGGUGAUUGUGUUAACUUUUAAGUGUUUAAUUCAAGUUUUAGGGUUGAUUUGAUGAAAGUUAACUGCUCAAUAUUAUUAUGUUUUGAUUUUUUUCAUGGUUUUUUUAAUAGAAUAAAUUUAGUGUUACUUGUGAAUUUGUUUAAUUUGUGAAAUAUAGUCCAAUGGAUGCGAUUUAAUUCGGGUUUUAAAGUUGAUUUGAUGAAAAUUGUCAAUCAACUUUCAUAAAAAAAACGAGUCCAUGUAUGUCAGAAUGUUGAAAACUAGUCCAUGUAUGUUAGAAUGAAAUAUACGUGGCACACCACAAGUAACUGUCUAGUUAUUCUGACAACCAUGUCAUUUUUAAUAGAAAAAUUGAUAAUAUUUUUAAUAAAAAUGAUCAGAACUAAUUUGUCAUUUUUUUAAUAAAGAGGAAAAUAUAAUCUAAUUUCUAUUACAGAGGUCUUCACGAUAGUUUUAUCAAGUUCUAGUGUUAUUAGAGGAAGCAGCCGAGCAAGUAGGGUCUGUUUAGAUAUGAAUUUUACAAAGAAGUUUUAGAACAAUCAGAAAAAUAAAACAAAAACUGGGUCACAAUUCUCAAGAUUUAAUUAAAUAAAAAUAUUAUUAAUAUAAAUAUAAUCCAUUUUAAUUUGUGUACUUUAAUGUUCCAAAUUGAUUAGAAAAACUGGGACUGGGCGGCAGAUAUUUGAGAAUUCGACCAACCACUGCUUCUUAGUGUCUCAAAUGGAUGCUUUAUAUUUCCUUUUGAAGUUUCUGCUCAGCCUUUCCAAUGACCUUUUCAUCACUAUAUCCAUUUUUAAGAUUUAAUUAUGGAAUCUAUCAUAAUCAAUUUUUUAUAUUAUAUAUACAAUUUAAAGAUCUUACCAGAGGAGAUGCUUUGUUUGAACCAAGUUUCUUAUAAUCGUAUAUAUAUAAUAAAUUAUUCAAUUUUUUUUAAAAAAAAUAACUUUAACCCUUUAUCUAAUUUUUUAACUUUUACAUUUGUAUUGUUUGUCAAAUUACUCCAAAAUGGAUGAAAAAAUUAAUAAACAUUAAUUUUUCUAUCUAUUUUGAGAUGACACGAUAAACAAUGCAAAUUCAAUGACUAAAACAGACAAAAGAAAAUAAAUAAAUUAUUAAAAUGACUCUUUUUUUAUAAAAUUAGAGAACUAAAUAAGUCAUUAUACCUUUUUUAUAUCCUAAUUACCUGAUUCUUUAUUAUAUCACCUAAUAACUCUCGUUGAUGGGUACAUUUUUGUUGAGAAAAAGACUUUUAAUGUAUUUAGGGUUCAAUCAAUUGAUCAGCAAACAGCACUUUAAAAUUUUCUAUCAAAAAAGGGCUAUAUAAGUAGAUAAUUCCUAAAUUUAGUAUGAUAUUAAAUAUAAACUUUAAAAAACUAUUAAUUAACCUAAUUAAAUUAAAAUUGGCCAUACAAUUAUAUAAACUUGUGUAGGGUUUGGUCUAUUUAACUCAAAAAAACCCGACUUGUUUUUGGCUUGGGCUUGAAGACAACUUCAUUAUUAUUAUCUUUUAAAUAGCAUUUCAAAAAUACUUUUUUACUUUAUAAAUUAAGAACCUACACAGAUUGAGACAUAAAUUUAUGAUCUCAUUGGUUGAAAAAUGGUUAUAAAAGAUAAUUAUAUUCUUUUCAUUUUUUUUAAUAAUUUUCUUAAAAUAUAUAGAUAAAUAAAAUGGGGAAUAUAAUACUCCCAUCUCAAUCUUAAUAUUUACUUCUACUAACUUGUUUGUAUGGACAAAGAAAGACAUAAAAACCUAGAAACAUAGUUCCAACAAAGCAACACCAAAUAAACACAACCACAAAUUACAUCACACUUUCAGUUCUCUGUCCAUUCGGUUGGCAAAUAUAUGUAAUUUUGUUUAGUAUUUUAUAAUCAUGAAACCUCAAUUUCUUUGGCUAUAAGUAGAGAGAUCCUUAUAUGGGUUUGCAAGCUGAUUUGCCAAGAGCCUAACAAUGCCGUCGUCACACUUUUGGCUUUUCUUCGAGAUAGUGCCGAUUUAAUGGGUACCCAUUCUAUCCAUAUUUUUAAUUUUUAAAUAUAUUAUCGGUUCGUAUUUGAUAUAUUGGUAAUAUAUUUUUAUUCCACAAAUAGUUUUAAAAAAUUGUCAUGUAUCUCCUCUUUUAAAAUAAUUAGUUUUUAAUAUUUUAUUAUACUCUUAUAUAACACUUAUUAACCCCUUGACCCUACUUGUGGAGUCUAAAUAUAUUAUGUGACUAUUUUUAUUCUUUUCGUUUCCUUUUACUCAUAAUAUAUGUGUCACGAAAGGUAAUAGUUUCAGUGACGCUAUAACACCCCCCCACCCGACCCGAUCGCUAAGACUGAGCUACAGGAUGCUACAGUUGUUGCCGGAACAACUACAAAUAUUUAACAUUCGAUUUACAUCAUAAUACAAGUAUACAUAAACAUUCCAAAUCAUUAUCAUAAUAUAUAACCUUUCCCGGGUCUUAUACAAGCCUAUGCAUGCUCUAAAGAAAGCCCGAGAUCGAACAAGGAUCAAAUUGCAACAUUUUAAAAAUUGUAGGUCAUCCUCACGACGUAAGGGAGUUCCUCGUUGCAACGUGACAUACUGACUUGGCUCAUUGUGACGACAAGGUUCCUUAUCACACCGUGGUAUGAAAUCCAGAGCUCUUCGCAACAACCAUCGCCUGAUGUCGCGACAUGGACUAUGUUUUUGGCACAAAUUAGGCCAUUUGGUACCUAUUUCAGGACAACACUCACCACAAGGUUUGGUGCAUAAUUGCACAACCUAACUUGCACAAUAUGUCAUACCCCAAAUUUGACAGAUCUAAAAAGAAGGCGUGUAGAUAUUACAUGUUUUGGCGAGUUUUGGUAGUGUAAUCCGGUAAUCUACAAACUUUUGGCGAACUAAAGUUGAUGCAUAAAGUAUCCGUCCAUAGAAGUAUCUAAGGAUUUCAUCUUAUUGUAUUCUUUGACUGAGGAAAGAGUACGACAAAUGAAGGUUAUGCCUUAAAGUGUUGGCUGAACAUGAAGCGCCUACUAAGUAUACGAGAAGUUUGUAAGGGACUAAAGUGUCUUUAAGACUACGGCAUACACGAGUCACCGCCAAGGUAUAAUACCCCUAGUUGUUUGAACACUGUGCAAAGUAGGUUUGUAACGAGAUCUAAUUAGAAGCCAAUUGAAUUGACCGGUCAACUGGCAUCAGCACAAGAUUCUCUUUCAUAGUUCUUUCAGUUUUUGUAGGUCAAUUAAGGGAUAAUUUCUUUAUGCAUGUAACACUUAUCAAGAUCCACUGAAGAGAAUUGGGUAUAUAUAUAUGGUAAGAAGAAAACCUUGAGAUGACUUUUCUUCUUUCUGUUCUACAUUCAGGUUCUUCUUCUUAAACCAAAGCAUUCUUUCCUUCUUUGUUAAAUUGGAAGCUAAGGAUCUUGGGAUAAUCUGUGGAUAUUUCAACUUCUUAUUAAGUUUGAUAGCCCUACAUGUUACGAUUUUAAAAGAGUAAGGAUGUAAAGAAACAUAAAACAGUAGAGUAUAAUUAAGAGGUUCUGCAUGUGGGCCUUUUGUAAUUGAGAUAUCAAUAAAUUGUUUGUAGAUGAGUUUUUUUAUAGAAGUUCUUGGUUCUUUUCAACAGUAGUUGUUGCUGGUUCAGGAAGUACGAUCGGAUUUAGAACUUUGAGCUACAGCGAAUGUGAGUUUAAGGUGAGUCUUUAUUUUGACUCAUAUAUUUUAAAUUAUAAUGGAAAUUAGUAUGUUGAUGCCAUUUCAUAUAAUUGAUGGUGUAAGUGUGUAUACGAAGUAUUGUAAAGAUUCUGCAUGUGCAAGAAUGAUAAGUGUGAAGUACUGCCUGAAUAAGAAGUUGAGUGGUAAGUAUGCAUGUAAAAUUUCGAUAUGGGAGAGUAUGAAUCAGUCAGGUAUGUGAACAAAUCUAGGUAAGUGAAUUCCGAGUAAAACAUCCAUUUUUUAUGCUUCUAGUAGAGCAGUUACAUUACUAACCAGACUGGCAGAUCAUGAUAUGAAAACAUGUGUAAGUCCAUAUGGUAGAGACCAAUGGCAUUAUAUGACAACGAAAAUACUCAUGGUGUAUCCUUCGGUGAGAUAUAAACUAGACUGGCAGAACACAACAUGAGGAUGUAUAAAACCAUGUGGAGGAGACCCAUAGCAUUAUAUAACAAUAAAAAUACUCAUGGUAAUGCUUCCAGUGAGACGUAGACUGGACUGGCAGAUCACAACAUGAAAUAUGUAUAAGACAAUGUGGAAGAAACCCCAUGGCACCCUCUGAUAUAGUCCAAUGAGACAGUAAACGCGUAAUCUUCUGUAAGGCCUGUAUGGCAUAUUCGAUAAUAUCUAAGUGACUUAUUUUGUAACAUCCUUGAAGUGAAGCCUGGUCAAACACUUCUGUGUCGCGAUCUGGGUAAGCUUUGAGGCUUCUCCACUAGCUGAUGAUAUGAUAAAGAGUUGGUAAUUGUAUAAGUAUCUCUGUUUUGGUUAGAAUUCUGGAAAAAAUUGAUUAUGACUUGAAGGCAUUUCCUGAAAGAGUUCUCUGAAAGGCGGAUUCGUCACAAUAGUCUGUCAGCAUAGGUAAUUUGGCGUAUUCAAAGUCAUGAGUAGUCUAAUAGAUGUCAGAUUUGAAUUUGCUUAUGAUAUGUAAGGAAGUAAUCUGAAUUAUCUAGUAUUUGUCAAAUUUGAGUAAUUUACGUGUCAAGUAUAGAGGUUAUCUAAAGUCUAUGUUGUUCGCCAAGUCGGGCUUCUCCUACUCUAUAUCAUGGUUGUUUGGAAUUCCCUGGUAUGAUUUAAAAUGUGUCAUCCAUCAGAAUAAGAUGUGAUCUGACUGGUAAUCUGAUAAUUGUCGAUUCAUUGUGAGAAUCUGAUGAAGGCAGAAUUCGUAUGAAGUUCAUCUUAAAGAUCCGCUAGUAUGAGUAUCCACCAAGAGUAAUAUCUAUAAGUACACCAUUCUGUAAUAAGUGUUCAAUGACCAUGUGAGUGAAAAUUUGCAAAAGCUAAGUUUGUAUGGGUAUUGCUAUGAGAAAUGCAUUUGUUUGUUGUAAAGGAAAUAAGAUUCGUAUUGAGUAGUGAAUUCUAAAAUCUGCCUAUGAGGUGAUUUGUGAUCAAGUAUGGAAGUUGGCGUAUAGCAUGAACCCAAUAUUAGAAAGGUAUUUGUCAAAGACAGAAAGAAAAUCUAGAAUAAUCAAAAUAAGGAUAUCAACAAUAAUUUCUUCAAGGUAAUAUGGAUUAAAACUCUUCAAGUUCAAUUGAACUUACAAGUGUUUGGCUAUGUUACAGGUUCCACUUUAAAAGUGGGUGCGCCUAGAGGGACCAAGCCAAAAAUGCGUCGUGGUGGCAGAUCAAGUUGCGAUAUUAUGCAUACAGAGGGUAUUAUAGGGAAUACGCAUUCAGUUCACUACACUUUAAGAUUUUGUCCUUAGCAAAGUUUCUAAAUUGUAAUGUCAUAUAUUGAUUUUAAAAGCUUGAUGUACUCUUAGAUAUUUCUUUAAUUCUUUUGUUUUCAAGACACUUAAUAAAAUAAUAAGUAUUAUAGAAAAAGGGUUAUAUGCCGAUUAUUUUUAAAUUCUUGCUAAGUUUUACGUGUUGUAACAUCCGAUAUCCGGACUCGGUGAUUUAGUUUGGGUAUAGGAUGUUACACAACAGCAUACCAAAAUGCAUGUCAAAACAUAGUAUCUAAUCAAUUCCAGACAUCCAUUUCAACAUUUCCACAAUUUGGCACCAAACAUACCAAUUCAACUUAACCAAAUUCAACGUAAUAAACCAUGCCUUUAAGCUAUAGAAUACCAUCAUUUACCAUUCUAAUUCAUUAAGCAAAUUUGUCAUUCAAGUGCAACAUUUAUAGCUUAUUACAUUACCAAACUUACACAUAUACAUAUAUGAUCAUUAGUAUUCCAUAAUUCAAACGUUAGCCAAGUUCAACCAAACUAUCAAUCCAAAGUUAACACAUAUAUUAACAUCUAUGUACAUGCCACAUAAUCUGACUUUAAAAUGUUUGAAAGACUACCAAAUUGAACAUGGGAUGGUGUGAACUUCUUGUAGAUCCGAUCAACAUGUUCCGCAAGUUAGCAAUCUACAAGGAAAAAGGGAGGCAACAGGGUAAGCAUAAUGAAGGCUUAGUAAGUCAAUAUGAAAUUUUACUUAACUUACCUUGAUAAUUCAAUAAUUAAGCAAUUAAAACAUAUUAGAAUAAAACAUGACAAUCCUUUGGCAUCCUUAUACUUUCAUAUGCAUAUCAACAAAAACAUUCAAAGGUUAGUUCAUUUGCAUAACAUGAACUUAUAACAUAAUCAUAUUAAUAUGUAAUAAUUCAUUUUAAACAUGUACUAACCAAAUCAUAAACCAUAUGCAAGCAUAUAUAUUUCCAUUCAUGUAUAAUCAUUCAGCCAUUCAUUUUUCUGUUAAAUUACCAUUUUCUAGCCCGAAAGAACUUCAGUAAAUUGAACUUAGAUACUCGAGACUAUUUCGCUCACACAAGCUUUUAUUUAUGAAAUGGCUCACACAAGCCUUCGUAUUUAGGUUGCUCACACAAGCUUCAGAUUAGGAUUGCUCAUACAAGCUUAGUUUGAUGAUUGCUCACACAAGCUUCGGAAUAUCCACAACACAUGUUGGAUCUCAAAUCAUCAUAAAAAAUCCCUGAUCAACCCAUUCCUUUUUGGACCCUAAUGACAUGUCAUUUGUAUCCUAAUCGUUUACUAAGUUUAUACGGGCACCGUUACUGUUAUCAUAUCAUUUCAAGCCCCAUAGCAGUAUACAUAUUUUACACAUUUCACAUAACAUUUUGUAUCCACUUCAAUACUUUGUAUCAUUUACUAAUAACCAUAAUUUCUCAUUCUUUGCAAUUUAGUCCUAUUGAUACCAAAAUCAAUCAAUUCACAUUUAAGCAUAGCAAAAAGCAAAUCAAAUUCAAUUAAUUCAUAACAUGAAUAAAAUGGUAAUUUCCAUAUGAACUUACCUAGCAAAACAACAAACAAUUGAAUCUUUAAAAACUAAUCUGCAAUUUUUCCUUUUUCCCCGUUAUCUUCAGUUUGAUUCAAUUCUUGAUCUAUAUAAUAGUUCAAUUCAAUUAUCAAUUUCAUCCCUUUUGUAACAUCCUAUAAUAUGCAUAUAUCAAUUCAAUUUCAUUAUCCGAAUGCCCCCUAAAAUUUUGUAUUUUAUUCAAUUUAUAACUCUUAUAUGCACAACUAAAUGAGUGCUUGUUGUUGGCAUUCAUGCUCGUGUUGUUGCUAUUGGAAUAGCUGUUGAUGUAAGAACUAUUCUUACUUCCAAAGAUGUUCUUGAAGUAUUGAGAACUGUUACAUAUUAGAGUUUUAGUUCGAGACUUGAUGUCCCAAAGUUGAAAGGUACCUUGGGUAGGGAUCGUAAAAUCCUAGGAAAUGAUUGUACUGAGGAUAAUACUGUUCUGACUAAAUGCACUUAUAUAAAUCAUGGUACUAUGGCCAAAGUUUCUAUUUCCCUGGGGAACUUGGUUAUUUUGAUUAGCUUGGUUUUGGAAGUAUAAGAAGUUUUGGUUAUUAGGGAAGUUUAGAUCAUUGGGGAAGUUGUUAUUGGGAUAAUUCAUUUUUUUGAUUGAUUUUGAUGGUCGAGAGUGAGUCCACACUCACCACAUCAAUUGUUAAUAUAAUAAGGAGGUUGUGGUCAUUUGGUACGAUUCACCCACGCUGCCAAUUUUCAAGUUUGGAAAACCAAUUGAAUUGCAACAAAUUUUUGGAUGGGAUCCAGGCAUAUCUGGGCUAUGAUGUUUGCAUAGCUUUCGAAAAGCUAUCUAUUAGCUUCAAAACGCACUUUGAAUCAUUUGAUUUCGAGUCCAAUAGCUCAAGUUAUGACCAUUUUACUGAUGAUUGCACAAGCAGAAUUUUUCGACGCAAUUAUUACGGAAAAUUACGAGUUUCGGGCUUUAAUUCGAGUUUAAAUCACAUUGAGUUCGAGUUUAAAGCCUAAUUUUGAUCAUAUAUGAGCCCAAUAUUGUAUCUAUUAGGUUUUAUUAUUUUAUUAUUUAUUUAUUCCGAAUUUUAGGAUUUUUUUCAUGUAUUUUAAGUUGCUUAGGAGUUUUAUGUUUCUUAGUCAAGAAGAAAGUUUAGUUUAAAACUACACUUGUUUAGAUUAAUUAUAGAUUCAUCAUACUUAAGAGUUUUAUUUGGAUAUAAUCAACUAGUCUAUAUAAAGGCCUCUCAUUGUUCAUUAGAUACACAAUUCAUUCUUCAUCAUUUAAUAUUUUAUUAAAAAUGUCACUCACGUAAUUUCACACAAUUUUAUUGAUUAAUUAGAAAUUUUCAAUUUAUGUCAAACUUAAUAUGCAUAACUACAUAAAUAGAGCAUGAAAUAUGACGGUUGAAUUAUUAAAAUAUUAAUCGCAUAAAAAGUUACGGAAGAAUGUAAAACUACUUAAAUUUUAUAUAGGUUUUAAGUGGAUCCCUUUUUUUUAAUAUACAUACUAUUAUUUAAGUGUUUUAUUGAGUUGAUAUCACCCUCAACCAAGUCAUCAACUCAAAUAUUAAAUAUUUAUUUAAAAAUCCAAUUUCACGAAAUUUUUUUGGUUAAAAUAGCCAGUAACUUUUUUUAACCUCAGUUAAAAAUUAAACCAAAAAAAAAAACAAUAAUUUACAUAGUAAAAUAAGUUAAAAGGAUUUAAAUACUAAAAUAAGUAAAUAAAUGUACCUCAAAGCUCAAACGGUGAAUAAAACCUGUAUUAAAAGAUUAACUUAUUUCCGAGCGAACAUUGUUUAAUUAUAUUCAAUUCUCUUGUAUGUUAGAAACUUAGGUUUUAUGUCUUUCUUUUUAGUAAAGUUUUAUUCUCUUAUAUAUGAACUCAAUUAUGCCUUUGCUGCUUCUUCGGGAAGCUCUUAUAUGAAUUGUUGAAUGGAAUCCGCUUAAAGGGUUGUUUUCUAUUAGAUCAACUCGAAUCUCGAAUAAUUGGUAUUAUUUUUAGAGUGUUUAUGUUUAAUUUUAGCCCUAGAUUUUUGUCUCCUUACUUUAAGUAGAGCUCAAAUAGAUUCACGGAGUUUCGGUGGGAAUACCUAGACCUACCAAGAAAAUAUUUUUAUCAUUUAGUUUUAGUGGGGAUUCAAAUUCAUGCCCCUAAAAUGUCUUAAAGAAUAGGAAUACUACCAUUUAGCUAGGCAUAUCAGGUAUACUAAGAUAAAGCAUUAUAAUGUAUUAGUUAAUGAUUCAAUUCCCAUAAGUGAACUUUGAUAAUUAAUAUUUUUAAUAAUAAUAAUACUUUUUUCUAUAAACUUGCAGAUCAUAUCCACGUCAACUGAGACUGAGAAUCCGAAACCAAUUCUAUUCAAUAUAAAAUACGCACGAAUUUAAAUGAGAUGAAAUUAAGUGAGUUGAUUGGAUUUCUAAUAUUAGGUCGAAUGAAUGCUUUCAACUCCUAAUCCCAUUAACUUACCAUUUAAUCCCCAGCAAGUAAUCACCAUCACUCACCAAAUCCAUGUGCCCCAAUUUAUUUAUUAACAUUAAAUGUUUAUUUUAUAUUUUAUAAAUAAAAUUUAGGGUCUGUUUGAUUGAUGGAAUUGAUUUUCCGGAAAAUCAUUUCCAACUUUUCCAGCGUUUGAUUGGAGGAAAACAUUUUCCAUUUGGAAAAUGAACUCCAAAACAAGGGAAAAUGGGUUACAUUUUAGGGAAAAUGUCUUACCCUUCCAAUUUCCGUAAGACAUUUUCCGUGCUCUCCUCUCUAUCGCCUCCUUCAUUCCUUCCUUCAUUUCCGGUAGAAAAUUGCUUAUGUUUAUCGAUUUUCCAGUAACUUAUUAAUAUAUAUUAAUAUAUGUAAAAAUAACUUUUCCGAAAAAAUAUUUUCAAAAAAUCUGCCAAGCAGCAGAAAAUAUUUUACACAGAUUCAAUCAAACACCAGAAAAUAUUUUCCAGUAAACGGAAAAUAUUUUACUGGCAAUCAAACAGACCCUUAAUAAUAAAUUCAGCCUCAAAUUUUCAUUAUUAAUGUAACGUUAUUUUUUUAUAUAUCAUAUUAAUAAAUAAUAAAAACGUAAAAAAAUUAUAAUUCCAAACAAAAAAAAGUUAUUCAAAAUUAAAUAAAAUAAGAAAGCCUAAAAAAAUAAGAAAAUCAUGAAAGUUUUUCAAAUUUUCAAAGUUAAAUUAUAAAAAAAUAGGGUUUUCCUCAACAGUCAACCCUUUUUUUUUCAUUCACUGCACAUGUUUUCUCUCUUUCCAGUUUGCAUAUCUAUUUUAUGGAUAUCUUUGAUGUCUUCUCAAGUUAUGAUGGACAAAUAACAGUAUCUGUCGUUCGCUAAAACUCCAUCGGCCAAUAGUAGUUUUUCUUGGAAAGUGGGUGACUCUUCGUCAAUUUCUUAAUUUGUUUUGUUUUGAGAGUAUUUUAGAAUAAUAAAUGAUUUCAUGUGUCGAUUUGGAUCCGUGUUGUUUUAAGUUUUAUAUUUUUUUUUGUUUGUUUUUCCAUUAUUUAAUAAGUAUUCAGUUUUAAAAUUUUUUGUCUGCUAUUGUAACACGUUUUUUAGUAUUGCUUAUACAUGUAAUCUUAGUUUUAUAAGUGGUUUUAGGGAUGAUUUUGUUGCCAUCCUCUUUAGUUUGGUAAAUGCUUGGUUCUUUUGUCGAUUUUUGCUCACCGCUUUGAACCAUCCGGGGCUGAUUUCCUUAUCAUAUUAAGUGCUUACAAUCACUCCAGAUAUGUCGUGCAUGAGUUGUGACAAAGCCAAUUGUCAAUGUGUCAUAAUCUUCUAUUAAUGCUGAGGCUAAAGCAUUUGUCGUGUUGAUGGAGUUUAUCCUUCACCAUCUAUGACGAGUGUUUGCUAUUUUUUCUCUGAAUUGUAUAGUUUCAUUCAUUGAAUGAAUUAUAAUGAAUUUACCUUUCAAAAAAAUAAUAAUAAAAUUAUAGUUGUGAAUAUUUGAAAAAUCAAUUAAUUUAUUAAAAAAAUUGCACACAAUUGAGCCUUCAAUUAUCAAAAUUAAAUUAAUUGAGUUUUUCUGUUGAUGAUUUCCAUUAACAGAUGCUAACGUAACAAGUAAGAACACUUUUAUGAUAACAUAUGGCAUCUCCGUAUAAAAGGUAAAAUAACGUAAAUAAUCCAUAUUAAUAAAUAUAUUAAAAUUUAAAUUUUUAUUUAAUUUAAAAAAAAAAUUGAAAGAGAAUGCUUAUAGAAAAGCAAGUGAAGGCUUCUCGAUGGGACUGCUGACCUCUACUCGCAACAUUUUAUUGGGUAAAUUAUUUUAUUAUUAAUUUUUUUAUUUACUCAGUACUUUCCGAAAUUAAAUAUUUUAAUUAUUUUUCCAUUAGUUGUCGCUAAAUGAGUAUCAAAAAGUUGAUUUAAGUUUUUUUUAUUGAUUUAAUAACAAAUUUAGCCUUUCAAUAUUUAUAUAUUUUAUUAAUUUGAUCAUAAAUAUAGAAUAUUCAAGAAUUUAGCCCUCAAUAUUUACUAAUUUUACCAUUUUAAUUCAAAUUCUAAAAAAAUUAAUAAAUUUAACCCUCAAAAUUUAUCUAUAAAAUUCGACGAUGGUUGAGCAUUUUAUUUUUAUAGUUUUUUAUAAUAAUUAAUUUAGAAAAGAAGUUAUAUGUCCAUAUUGUGGUCACAUGUUAAAAUCCUAACAUAACAGAAGCAAAAACGUGGGGAAUUGUAUCAGAUGAAUGGAUAGAUAACUAAAACAGCUGUACUGUUUUUCUUUCAACAAUCAAACCUCAAGCAAAAUAUUUGAUCAAUUCUUCCAUCGUUCAAGUGUGAAACAAUCAUUGAAAAUCUCCCCUUCUUUUUCUUUCUUUUCAAUUCAAUUUAUUGAAUUAGAAUUUAAUUGAUAAAUUUUGUAAAUUUCGAGCACUAAAUUUAUUAAACACUAAAAUGAUAAAUUUUGUAAACACUAAGAACUAAAUUUCUUGAAUAUUGUAUAUUUAGGAUCAAAUUAAUAGAAUGUGUAAAUAUUGGAAAGCUAAAUUUAUUAUUAGACUGAUACAAAAAGCCACAUCAGCUUCCCGCCACUCAUUCAACGACAACUAACUAGAGAGUAACCAAAAUAUUUGAUUUCGAAAAUUUUAAUAGUUGUUCGGUCAAGAUAGAACAAAAAUUUUGUAGUUUAUCCUAUUUUAUUGCCAUGUUGUCUUUUUUUCUUUGUCUUAAACGAAAUUAUGUAACUUCAAUCCUUCUAUAAUUCUUCAAAUAUAAUUCUUCCAUAGGAGUAUCUGCAUAAUCAUGUUUAGAUUUUGUUCCUACUAUUUAUUUGGUUUAGUUGAUGAUUAUUUAAUUUAGACUAUUUUUUUUAUGUCUAGAUUAUAUAAGCAAAUUUUUAAUUAAAUCAGCCCUAAAACUUAAAUUGAAUACGAAAAAGUUAAAUUCUAUUAUUUUUUAGUACCAAAAUAUAUAGCUUUUCUCAAACACAGGUAUCAAAUUGAACAAAAAAAUGAUACCAGUUCUACAUUAGAAAAAAAUGUCAAACUCAUGUACCAAAUGAUAUAUUAAGCCUAUUGAAAUUCAUUAAAUAAAUUAUAAACAAUAAUCUAUAUCCAUAUUAUUAGUUAAAAUUUUGACUGAGUUAGUGGCAACUAUUAUUUUGACUUUUUGAGGAUAUUUUUAUCUUUUAUAUUUGUAAUAAGCCUAAUUUGCCCGGGCCCAAAAGCUCAAACACAAAUAAACCAAAAAUAAAAUAAAAACCAAUAGCAGUCCUUUUUAAUUGUUUAGUAUUACAAAACCCAAUACAAUAUAAACCUAACCCAUUACCUAAUUGCAUUACCCUACCCCAGGCCCAAAUUACAAACCCAUUGCAGCCCAAAAUCAAAACCCAACACCUAGCCUAACAGACACCAAAAUCGGAAAACCCUAGCAGCUAGGGUAAGCCUCCAGCGCCGCAACAGAGCCAGGCUUCCCCCUCGCGCGUGUUGCGCCCGCGCGCGUGUAGUGCCUCCGAGCCGAGCCACGCCACCACCAGGGACCACGCCGUACGCACGCCCGCACACAUCCGUACCUGCAGAAACGCACAGAAGGAGUAGGAAAAAAUGACAAAGAACGGGCAGAAAUCGAGAGCAAAUAGGAGUAAAUAAGAAAUAUGUAAAAAGGGAUUCGGGGGGGAUUUCUUUUUUUUCUUUUGGCAAUAUAAAGCCAUGUCAAAAAUCUGUAAAGGGGGGGCGCGCAGAUUGUAAAGAAAAAAGGCAGAAAAUCAAAAAAAAAAAAAAAAAAGG
RNAcentral lists this long non-coding RNA (86475 nucleotides) under Gossypium raimondii (Peruvian cotton). Its description in RNAcentral is "long non-coding RNA (GRAI_LNC008687)". The stretch from base 12127 to 12198 matches the Rfam family "tRNA". The record is from RNAcentral. Lineage: Eukaryota; Viridiplantae; Streptophyta; Magnoliopsida; Malvales; Malvaceae.